UUUUUUUUUUUUUUUUUUGGGGUGUUGAAUUAGAAGAAGCAGUCUCUCCAGGAAUGCAAAGCUGGAGCUGAAACUACUAUUUAAUAGCAGAUGUCUUUCUUUCAAUUCGCUUUUUCGUAAUAUUUAAUUGCCACCAAAUAUCCUUCCAAAGGCAAAGGUAUGAGAUGACUUCAGAAGGAAGAUUACAUAUAGGAUCACUUAACAGCGCAUAGGAUUUGACUAAAAUAUAUGGAAGAGGAAGACCAGCCGUUUCAAUGUCUUUCAUCUUUUUUUUUUUUUUUUUGUUUUCUAUUCAAUUUAAUUCCAUCCUUGUAUGUAACUUAAAAUAGGAUCUUGCUGCAGAUUGUGUCACUGUUUUGCCAGCUAAGGCAUUGCCUCUCUAUUGAAAAAAAUAAAUAAAUGAAGAGAGAACACCAGAGUUUUAUAUUUGUACUAAUAAUGUAUUAGUUGCUAAGGAUUUGAGCCAAUUGCAGCAAAAUCGUAUCCCCGGGUAUAAGUAUAAGACCCUUUUUUUUUUUUUUUGCCUUCUCUCUCUUCUUUUUCAAUUAUGGUUUGAAAAUUAUACGCUACCAUUAGUGAUGUUUGCUUUUAAUUAGUAGUAGUUAUAUUUGUUGAUUCCAAUAAUUUCAUUAUUGAACUAGGGCCUUGUUUGGCAGACAAGUUUUUUGUCAAGUUUGUCUGUUACAAGUUUUUUAAAUACUUUAUUAGUUACAUUAAUCUCAAAAAAAAUUUCAAAAUUUUUAAACUAUACACUUCAAAAUAUUAAAAAAUUUACACACUUCAAAAUUUUUUUUAAAAAUAUCUACAGUAAACUAAAGUAAAAUUUUAGAUAAACACCUAAAAAACUCACUUAUCAAAACGAGAUCAUCCCAGACUACACGUUGUUGUCCUCCACUUUUCUUCUUUUAUCCAAAGUCGUCACUUUGACGCUAAAUCACGUAGUAACCCUCUAUUCCAUCUCAAAAAAAAAAAGAAAAAGAAAAACCCUAUUCAAUUAUUUGUUUGCUUUUGAGCCAAUCUUGUAGAUCUCUUGUAUUUCCACGGGAAUAAAAGCCGAGUUUUUUGCCAAAAUAACACUCUUAUUAAAAAAUAUUCUCAAUGUGAUUCAUUUUCAAUUUUUAUUACCAUAAUGAUAUUAUUGUUCCCAUCUAGUUAUCCUGAUUGCCAUGUAGGAUAACAAGAAAGGAAAGUUCUAAUCCAGUUUAUAGUUUUCAACAUUAACUAAAAUUUUAAUUUUUUAUUAUAGAGGCACAAGAAGAUUGCAUAACUUUUAUAAUUUCCUUAUAAUUAUCUAAAAUAAAAUUUACCAUUAUUGACCUUACUAUUAUUGGUCUCUGAAUUUUUUUAAAUGUAUCAAACCUAUUGCAUAUAUUUUUUCAAAAAAUAAUUUUAAAAAUACAAAAAUUGCAACGAAAAUUGUAAGCAAUUACAAAAAUUUCAAGGUUAUCAUAUUUGUUUAUGUUAUCCUUCCUACUCUUUGAAAAGAUGAGAAUAAUCUUCAUCUACCUUAAAAUUAUCAACUUGCGAAACAUAUUUUUUAGAUGCUGUUAAUAUAAAAAUUGGCUUCUUAGAUUAUGUUUGACAAGGGAAAGAUAACGAAAGAAAAAAUGUGGGAAGGUUUAUAGAGAAAAUUGGAGAAGAUAUUAGAUGAGAAAGAGAAAUAGAGGACGUCUUUAUCUUUAUCCUCGCACAUAUGCAGUUUAAGUGGCAAAAAAGGAUCACAAAAGUAAUAAAUUUUAAAAUUAAGUUACUUUGGGAAUAUAUUUUGGAAGAAGAGUUAUUUUGACAAUAAACUCAAUAAAAGCCUACAUCUCUUCCUUUUUAGCAUAAUUAGUAGUUCAUUUUAUUCGAUGAGGAAGACCAUACACUAGUCUAAAUAUUGCACAUCGACUCUUCAACUUCCAUCCACUAGUCUAGAUGCAUUGUUACAGUUUUGUGUUUGGAUUGUACCUUAUUUACAUAUAUUAAUUUAAUUGCAUCAUCAACACUUUUUUAAUUAUCUUUUUAUCUUCAUAUACAUUAUAUUAAAAAAGUGCUACAGUAUUUUUUUUUAAAAAAAAAAUAUCCCAAAUAAUCUCCUAUCCAAACACAAAGGUAUGCCGGAUUUUCAAAGAUUGGCAACACCUUGGAAAUCUGAUAAAUUUGGAAAUGAAAAUAAUCAAAACAAUUAGUACAUUCUACUUAUUAGGCAAAAUAAACACAACUAGACUGACAAGCUCCAUGAGAUUUGGAUUUGGGGCAGGGACGGUCAUCUGCACGGUUAAGGGCCAAGAUUUGUCCUCAAAAUUUUGUGCGGCUGAGAUUACACCAUGUAACUCGAUUUCCGCGCUAAGUAUGGGGCCCACCACUAUCUGUUCUGAAAAUACAUCCUGUGAAAAAAAAGUUACAUCGUGUUUAACCAAUGUUACGCGCAGUGCAAAAUGAGGACAACCGGCACAAACGGUUGCACCUGCAACCGUUUGUGCCCCGUAUCCAUGAGAUUUUUCAUUCCAAGACAAAAUAAGCAAAUGAUAGACUAGUGUAGCACAUUAAAUUUGAUGGUACAAAAAUGAGUUGCGUAACAAUUUCAAAGUCAUCUUAAUUGCUACUUACACACGUCCACCUAGUUUGAUAGUACACCGAAGUAAUUGUCCAUUCGGAUUGAUUGACUCCUCUGUCCAGGAAAUUGGCUACCGUACACCAACCAAAUGGGAAAGCGAUGCUUGCUACUCAUAGGAGCUGUAGUGUCCAAAACGAGGGAAAAACGCGAGUUCGUCGGUGGCGCGAGGAAGGAGCAAAGAAGGAUCCAUGGCCUCUUCGAAUUCCCAGUAACCAACAUUAAUUACCUUUCCUGAGGUUUUGACCAUUUCACUGAGAGUGAAAUCUCUCGAGAUUUUAAAGUUUACACCUACUUACUUCUUCUCCUGUGCACCUAAAAUGACAAAUGCAAUUGAUACUUUACAGACAAAUGAUUAUCAUAUACAGUCGUCCGAUCCAUAAAUAUUCAUGAUGUUUGCAGUCCUUUAAGGAAAGUCAUUGGUGCUGGGUCCCUGUCGGUUCUAUACCCCACACGGAAUUCAUUGCCGGACUGCAGGCAAUGAAUCUGAGUAGAACUGUAGAAGUCUUUUCGUGGUUUGGUUGUAUAAGCCUUCGAGCUUAUCAUCUGGCUGGUUUUGCAUCCGGAAAAUUCAGAGGUAUAAAUUAUUAUAGUAAUAGAGUAGUUGUAGCAUAAUUUUGGAUAUGCAGCUACAUGAUUUAGGUAAGAUGGAGCUGUUUUAAGGACCUUCCUUGAGAAUUUUCCUAGUUCUCUGUUGACAACGAAAGACUAGUAUAAUUUAUUACAUUUAAACGUUUGUUGGUAAAUGACACCAUGAAACGUCCUUUGGGUGAUUUUCUCUUCUCCCUCUGCCUUACGUUUGAAUAAUUUUUAGUAACUCUGUGAUUACUUUCUUCUUUAUUAGUUGGUUAGAAUAAAAGUUAGUAUAUUUAUCCCUAAAAAAACGAAUUACUACUAUUUACUACUGACAAAUAAGAAGAGUUCUAGUCAGCAGUUUCUAUCAGUAAUGUGUUCAGGAUUUGUAUGAUAAAAAUUCUCUUCCAGUUUUACUUUCACCACCUUGCUUUGUGUAUAAAUGUAGUGUAACUGACCUCGUUCAUGCAUACACUUAGUAGUAAUUCUACAGAAGGAAAACGUAAAUGAAGAAAGAAAAAAACAGAAACAGAAACAGAAACAAAAGAAAAAGGGUUUUGUUUGGCAACUUUUGUAGUAACUUUUUAUAUACUUAAAAUCUAAAACAAAACAUGCGUCGAAUAAUACAAACACAAAGUAGUGAUUCUUUAGUAGGUAGUAAAUCAAUGAAGAAGUCACACUAAAAAGCCAAAAGGCCAUUUUUUUCCGAGACACACAUAAUUCAAAUGCUUCAUCCAGUGAUUCUUAUCGUCAGCUCCUUUUUAGCUUUUGCUUUGCAAGCUGUUUCUUCAUUCAUUCAUUCUUGAGACAGAUAGAUACCGUCAACCAGGUUCUUUUUCCCUUUUUUUUUCCUUUCUAAUUUUUUUGGGAAGUAACAACCAAGCUUAGUGUAAUUAGAAUGAUUCAUUAGUAUAAUACGUACUUAAUUUUCAAGUUCCUUAAACCUGAACUUACUGUGGCCAAGCUGAUGUUGAUGUUGUGCUACCUGUCAAGAUUUUAAUUUGCCUCCCAAGAUUUUCUUGUCAUCAGUGCGAUUGACUUUGAAAACAAAACGUCUUACACAAUAAUGGGAUCUAAGCUGUUGCUUCAAAUCCACCAUUUUUACUUUUGCUUUUACUCCAAACUAGAAGGAAUGAUGAAACUGAGACAUGAGAUCCGGUGCCCAUCACCCACGGAAUGCAUAUAUAUAUUACGAAGUAACAUAAAAUCCUCUUUUGAAAUCUGGUGCGUUUCUCUACAAUUACAAAGUAGUGUGAAACAAAACAUCUUGGUUGGCUAGCUAUAAGAUUUCUAAAAGUACUGAAAGUAGUUCAAUAACAUAAGAGUUCUAAAAACAUUUUUCAGUAUACAUAGAUCUCAACUGGACAUUAACUCAAUUUACUCUCCUUAAUUGAGUAGAUAUUUUGAUUUAUAGUUAAACAAAUUUGCAAAAGACAAAUAUAAUUCAUUAUGCAUGCAUAACUGGUAAUUUUUGGUUUUUCCCCAAAUGCAUCUCUUAGUCUGUUGUAAACUGUAGUGUACUUCUUUGUUGCGGAGAAACAUUUGCUUGUACUUUCUGUCGUAUAUUCAAUCCAAAAGCUAAAGAAGCACGUCCUUCCAAAUCUAUAUGAAUGUGAAAGUAAACUCGUACGUUCCUCGAAUUUCUUUCCAUGUUCUUUUUAUUUUUUAAUCCGUUGGACACUUCAAAAUUAAUUAACAUACUUCUUGCAAUAAAUUAGGGAUGACUUACGAAUGCCGUUUUGACUCCAACACAAGAUCUACUAGUCAAAAUAAAAAAAAAAAGAACCCCAUUAGCUAGAUCUCAUCUCAUCAAGUAGGCUUAGGUUAAAAUCUCUGUCACUCCAACAAUUUCCGUUUUAUGUUUUUCUUUUCCAUUUUGCUAUUUCCUGGAGUUUUUGUCAAAUAAUAUAUUGUGUUGAUUUGAUAUAUAUGGAAUAAAAUUUUGAUUAAAAAAUAUAUUCAUAGAAAACAUAAAAAAAAAAAUUUUUUAAAAAAGACUUUCCAAACGACUAGUGGGGAUGACUUUAACUUACAAAGAAACUACUAGUAAAUAAGUUACUUGGCCGCGUCUUUCCAAGGUACUUUCCUUACAGAUUUUAAAUAAAUAAGACUGUCGGAAAUUCUGUUGACUUAGUUAAUUGUCAGCGUGAUUAACAUGUGUAUGUCUUAAUAUGCUGUCGGCCGAAGCUUAAGUAAGUAAAACAAAAAAAUAAUCUAGAGAGGUUAUCAAAUGAAAGAUUUACAAUGUCCUCGACUAGAUUUUUAGUAAGCCUAGGCGUAGUAUAGGGCCAGGUUUGGUUUGACUUGUCAAAUUGCUAAUAAAGAAUGAGAGUAAAUACUCCCUCCGUUCCUUAUUAGAUGGCCUGAAUAACUAAUUCUUUUAGAUUAAGAAAGUUGGUUAUUCUCUAAAAGUCAACAAAAGUUUUACUUUACUUCUCAAAAUUACCCUUUAUCUCUCUUCAACUAUACCUAAUUAAUACUACCUGUCAUUUAAUUAUUUAGAGUUCCAAUUCAAGAAAGUUGAAAGGGUAAGCAAGGGUAAAUUUGGAAAAAAGUUCAUAAAUGCUUUCUUGAUAUCAUAAAAUGACAGAUAAAAAGAAACAAUGGAUUAGAACAUCUAAUAAGGAACGGAGGGAGUAAAUUGAUAAGAAUGAUAGGCUUCUAGUAGCCCUCCUCGGGCAGAUCGAUUGGUUUCGUAGUCCCCUCAUAAGGGAUAGGUCACUGGUUCGACCCCGGGGAGCUAAUGCGCUGUAAGCCUUGGGGCGGUACUCUCACAGCCGCAGGAGAUUAAUAGGGCUCAAUGGUUCCGGACACCCUGUGUCGACAAAAAAAAAAAAAAAGAAGAAAAAGAUAGGCUUCUAGUAGAUUCGUAGCGUGACAUCGAUGGAUUGCAAAGGUCUUCUCACAAAUUCUUGUGGUCCUGGCCCAACAACAAUCAAAAAGCGUCUUUUCCUUGAAAUUCUUGCACCAGGGAAAUUUCGUCUGCAAUAAAAAACAAAUUAUGUGUUGAUUUUUCCUAAAUAGUUGCUUUCAAGUCAUUUAUCCACCAUUUAAAUUAAAGAUAGGACCAUGAUUGCUUUUCUUUUUUUUUCUUUUUUUUUAAAAAUUUUCAACAAGGAAAGGGUGGCAUCUAAGAAGCAACGAGGAAGAAGAGAGACUUAAAUUCAAAAUCUCUAAAUCUCAAUUUGUCAUACCAAAUCUCUAAAUCUUGGUUAAGGUUUCAACCUUAACCACUGUACUGGUUUUCUCGGCAGUCAUGAUUAUUUUUUAUUUCUUAAUUUUUUGCUAUUGGGGUUAUUACUUGUAAUGAACUGGAGUUGUGAUUUGUAUGUCCUGAUUCUACCAUUAUAGGUUUUACUCGUAUUCAUAUUAAAAGAGUUAAAAAAGGAAAGGUUUUAAUUAAUUCCAUAUACUGAUCAAACCACUGGCUAAUUAUACGCGCUUAAACGCAUAAGUUCCCAUUUUUCUAAUCCCAACAACCUUUUUGAGUUCUUUUCCGAGGAUGCUUCUGUCGGACGUCUAAAAGCUGAAUUCCAAAACCUGAAAAGUAACUUGAGAAAACAAUUUCUUAAAACAAAGGCAGAUUAGUCUGUUUCGUAUUUCUGUUUUUUUUUUUUUUUUUGAGGUAAAGAAAACCAGAACAGAGUUGAACAUGUAAAUUUUAAAAUGCCCGUACAAUUCGAUGAUAUAGCUCUGAUAAUGUAUGCCUAGAAAGUAGAAACGAAGGGAUAUGAAUGCCUUAAAAACAGAUGAAAUUGCACAAUGCUGUUUGGAGGGAUUCUUUGAAAAAACAUUUCAGAAAUUUUUGAAAACACCCGAAAAACAACCAUUCUUGUUCCGGGUUUUGUUUGGAGCUGAUUCAUGCAUGCUUUUUGUAGAUCAAAAUUGAAUUCUCACGGUAAAAAGUAAAACGAAAACAAAUGAAUAGGAUUAAGAAAUAAAAAAAAAAAUGCUGCGCUGCAAACAUUUCGAGCCAAAGUUUUGAUUCAUCAUUGUGCAAAUUGCUGAUAAAGUUAAACAGCCUGUUAAGUUAAAAGAAAAGGUCCAGAAAUUUAAAUUUCUGCCGACAGUUUGUAAUUAUAUGACUUUUCCAUGUUAAUUUGCUGAUUACACAAUGCUCAGUUUAACAGCCUGUUAAGUUAAAAGAAAAGCUUUUCUGUCAACACUCAACAGUUUGUAAUUAUAUGACUUUUCCAUUUCUUUUUUGGGCUUAACUUUUCCAUGUUGAUGUACCUUUUUGGAUUGCGAUUUUUUUCCAAAAAAUUUUUACAUUUUCUGUAAAUCCAUUUUUCAAUCAUUUUUUAACCUCAUACAAAUCGAAUCGUUACAGUACCUUUUUUUUUUAAAAAAAAAAAUCAGAAAAUAGCAAUCCAACCUCCACUCAACGAAAACAAUUUCGUCUACUUUCAAAUACAAAACGCUGGCUUUUAAUUUUUGAAACAUCUCAUAUUACAAUGAAUUCAAAAACGCAAAAGUGAAUCCCACAAGUCUCGUGUUGAAAAUGAAGAGCUCAUAUCACAUAUACAUCUUAUACUUUCUCUUAAAAAACCAUAAUUUGGCCAAAGUAAUUCACAUUUACAAAUUGUGACAAAGAACAUCGAUGACCGGGUCGGGCUUAAAUAAAUUGGAUUGGGAUGAAACUAGGAGAAGUUAGCCACUUGGACAGCGGAGAUGAAGAAAGCCCAAUCAUUCAAUCAAGGCAAAUACUAGUGAUUGCAAAUCCCUGUGAAGGCAAGGUUCCAACAACUACACUGCAGUUAUCAACACAUUUACAUUGCUGGCCGUCAACGUAAGUCGAAAAGGCGCCCAGCACAUUUACAUUGCUGGCCGUCAAGGGUAUGCAGACUGCUUCCGGCUCCAUGACGGGAAGUUUUGAGAGUUCGGCACUCGUUUGCUUGGAAAUCUCAGCGCAGCGAGGCCCUGAACAUUUCAAGGAAAAGUGAAAGUCAACCAACACGUCUGGAUAAUAGACCAUCUAAGAUAUAGAAAGAAACUUGGCUUCGAGAAGCCUAAGCUAUCCUAAGCUAUGAUACGUGAGAACACGGUCAACCAAAAAGCUGAUUUGUGUGCAAUAAUGAUUUUGGGUAGAAUUAGCCAACAGAUGGAGGAAGCCCGACUAUGGAAUACUUCCUUUUCUUUUGUCUGGAAGAUCGGCCAAUUUGAUUGCACUGAGUUUUUAGAGAAGCAUUAGCCAAGUCAUAGAAUGGAGCAAGUAAAUACAAACAAAUAAGAUUAGUCGUAUAAGAAAGAGGAUAAGAAUCAAUCAAAUCAAACUUAAUAGAGCCAAGUUCAGUCUAAUGCAAGCUCAGUAGGGUCCUGAGAUCGAAUAGGCAAUAGAACACUUUUCAGUUUGUCAAAUGCGCAAUGAAACUAGCUUAUAAUAUUUUUCUUUGACAAAGUACGAGUAACCUAAACUAAACACUUCCAAUUUAAACGAUGAAAAUUGCGUGGAUACCCCCAAAGUAAAAUAUCUUGGACAAAUCCACACAUGGUAAAACCAGACUUCAACCUGUUUGUAACCCGUAAUUUUUACCUUCCUGAAGCACUUGGUGAUAAUGCUGCUACUUCAUGGCGUGGGCAGUUAACCAAACUAAGACUAGUAAGUAGUUUAGGACCAUGGGAAGUUUCAUCUGCAAUUUAUGGCAGGGCAGAUCGAUUUCUCUCAUCCAAACGUGCAAGGAUCCCCAGAACAAUCACAGUAGAAACACUUCUGUUUAAAUCAACAAUGUGUGAGCAAAAGAUUUGAUUAAACAUCCGACUAAAACACUUACCUUUAAACCAAUAAAAUGGAAUUAAAGAUUGAUUUUUUCAAAGGCUAGAUCAAACACAGGAAUGGGACAAUAUGGCUGAAAGAGGAACUAAACAGAUUGUUGUAACUGUAUUAGGAGAACAAACCUGAAGGUCCUAAUUGCCAUUGUUAAGUUUGAUAUUAGGAAAAAUGGCUGCAAGUGUAUGUAGCGAGACAAUAUCUAUCUCAAAUCGAACCCUUUCUCAAGCUCUUGCAGAAUGAUCAUCUCAUCCAAGAAAGGCGCUUUUUCUGAGAUCAUCAAACACACGUCACUGAUGGAGACGGGCUAUCUGCUAAGCAUGUAACCUGAGGAGGCCUAACUGAAAGCAAGGCAACAUCAUUUGAAAACUUUAGCUCAACAGCAUAACCAUUGCAUCUUAGUAAGGAAGUAAGAUGUCACUAUGAAGUGCUUUUGACCUUAGUGUAUAAUGCCUUUGAAUUGGGCACAUAGCCAUGUAUGGAAGCUUUCAUUCCAUCUUCCUUUUUUCCCCCCUUAUAACUAUCUUACUUCAAAUACAUGCUUUGAAGUCAAAACUGAACCUCAGCACUCCACAAAAGAAUAGUGAGCUGCACAGACAUGGAAAUUGAGGACCAAACAGGAAUGUUAGCAAUUUGAGAAACUGAGGCAGAUACUAAUGUGAUAGUAUAGAUGUCAAUAACUGCAUUUGCAUCAAAUAUGACACAUAAUAAUUCAAUAUCCAAAACACUACCUAAAAGUAUGAGGUUCAACAGGAUGUGACAGAUACAAAACAUAAUAAGUACGCAAAAAUUUUGUUGGUGGACAAGCAACCAAAAGAACCCGCAAAGAGGUUUAAAAAAUUCCAUGUCAAGUAAGAUUUUGGAAAAUUAUUUUGGUCUUACAGACAAGACUAUGAUAGAAAUACGAGUAGGAAAAAGAAGCCCAAAUUACCUCAAAUAGCCUACAGGAGUGAACUGUAUGACUGAACUUCAUGAUCAGAUGACCACAGCAACAGCAAUAGCAAUCCCCUUUAAAAACAGCAGGAAGAACGAGGAUUGCCCUCUACCAUUAGCAAAUUGUUAAUUGAAGGAAAAACCAAGAAAUUAACAAUUUUAUGUAUGAUCUUUACUAGUUAAUCAUUUCAGACCACACGGACCCUCAACUUGUGAAGUAAGGCAAAAAGGUAUGAAUAAUUAAUGUUAUAGAAGGCUUUGAUUCGAAGUGUGUUACAUGGGUGGUCUUCCCACUGAAUGAUGGAAACCAAAAUCGAGAGUACAAGCAGAUAAUUACCUUACUUUAUUUCAGAAAAUGAGCAUGCUGCCAUAGAUGCUAGAUAGCUUCAUCAUCCAAAACUUAACCCCUUGACGCAACUUUUGCUGCAAAAUAAAAAUAACAAUAUGUAAGCACCAAAGAAAUCUACAAGGAAACAAGGAGGGCUGCACCUAAACUAAGGAUAAAAAUCAGGAACUGAAUCUCUUCAUGUUUACCGAAGCUUUAGGUGAUUUAAAUAAGUAUACCUUGGACCAAUCUGCCAUAUUUUGAAAAGCUAGGAUCCAGACCUGCCUCCAACAUUUGAUCCAAAAGCUUCUCAGAUUCUUCUGAAUCACCUUGUGCUUGUAGACCAUAGAUCAAAGUUGAGUAGGUAAUGGCUGAAGGAGAAAUCCCUUCUUCUAUCAUUGUCUCUUUGAGUUUCAAAGCUUCAGAAGUAUUACCACUUUUGCAGUAUCCAUCAAUCAAAGUAUUAUAGGAAAUGAGAUUUGGGGCUGGACCUUUCAAGCAAAGCUUGCUGUAAAGUUUUGUUGCUCGAUCAAGGUUUCCAGAUUUACAUAGGCCAUUUAUAAGAGCAUUAUAUGUAGCAAUAGUCGGGAUGAGACCCUUUUUCAGCAUCUCAUCCCGUAACUGAAAUGCUCUAUCGACAUCACCAGACAAUGACACACCAUGAAUCAGGGAUGUGUAUGUGAACUCAUCUGGAAUAAAACCUCUCACAGACAUAUCAUUAAUUACCUCCACAGCAUUAUCAACCCUGCCGUAUUUACAUAAACCUGCAAUAGCUACAUUAUACAAAUAGUUAUUGGGAAUAAUGGAACUUUUGGUGCUUUUGUCAAUUGACGUUGUAAUUCUCUCUAAAUCUUGUGAUCCAUCGUCAGAGUUUAUCAUGAGCUGGUCAGAAAAAUAUUUAAGACUUGGGGCACUAUGUAAAUCCAUUACUUUCAGCAAUACCUUGCUUGCUUCACCUCUCAUACCAAGCCUGUACAAUCCACUGAUAAUUGUGGUACAAAUUAUGGUGUUCGGAACUAUACCCUUAGCUCUCAUCUCGAAAUAAGCAUCUAGAGCUUUCUUCAGCAUUCCUUCUCUGAACCAACCUGCAAUGAGGGCUCCAUAUGUGAUGAUGUUUGCUUUUAAUCCUCUGUUCUGCAUCUCAGUGAGAACAUCUGGCACUUGGCUAAAUUUCCCAGCCCUAAAGAGUCCACUGAUAACUGAGUUAAACAUUUCAGUAGAAGCCGCAAUUCUUUCCCUUUCCAUGACAUACAAAAUUUCAAAAACUUUUUCAAUAUCUCCAGUUUUAGCAUAACCAUCACUCAGAGUCCUAUACGUUACUUCAUCAGGUGAAAAUCCCAGUUCUUUCAUCCUGUCAAACACCUGCUCCGCUUCAAUUAUUUUCCCCAUUUUACACAAUCCAUUAAUCAUUGUAUUUACAAGAAUCCUACUUUUGGCAAAGCCUUGCGCUAAAACAUGCUUCCACAGAAUCAAAGCCUUCUCAGAAAUUCCCUUGUUAAAGAGGCCAUGCAAGAGAGCACCAUAGCAAACUUCAUCAGGAGUAACACCCCUUUUAAGCAUCAAAGCCCAAAGACGCAAAGCAUCAUCAAUAGCACCACUUUGGCACAAACCUUUCAAAAGAACACUAUACGUAACAACUGUAGGUUCUACACCAUCUCGAAUCAUUGUGUCACAGAGAAUUAAUGCCUGCUGUGUUUGACCUGCCUGCCAGUAGCCAUUCAUUAGGGUUGUGUAAGUAUAAGAAUCAGGUCUUAAUUUCCAGUCACUCAUGCUCCUGACUAUUCCAUGAGCUUCACUAACUUGACCAAGUUUACAAUAUCCAUUUAUCAAUGAAUUACAAGUAAACAUGUUCAUCUUCAAUCCGAAACUCAACAUUUCCUCCUUUAUCCUAAUAGCAUCAUCCAGUUUCCCUACUUGACAAAAGCCAUCAAUCAACACCCCAUAUGCCUGUUCAUCUACAGCCAUUUUGUCACCCUCCUCCGUCUUCAUCACUCGAAACACAUUCUCUGCUUCCUCCACCUUCCCUUGCUUGCAAUAACCCUUAAUCAACAAUGUAUAUGUCACCACAUUUUUCACAAUCCCCCGUUCACUCAUCAACCGCAACACUCCUUCCGCCUUCUCCAAAUCCCCCUCCUCCACAAACGCAUUUAUUAAACUAUGAUAAAUCACUGAAUUCAACUCCAACCCAAUCUUUUUCUCCAUUUCCUCCAAAAACUCGACCGCUUUGCAAACCCUGCCAUCCUUACAAUAAGCAUUUACCAUUAUACUGCACGUAUAUACAUCCGGGACAAUCCCCAUUCUAACUAUCUGCUCAUAUACACAAAAAACAGUUUGAAAGUCAUGAUUUUUCACCAAACCACUCAACAAACUAUUGCAGGAACGUAAGCUCGGUAACCGCCCACACUUAGGCAUAUUAUCAAACACAUACAGUGCGUUCUGAAUCAAUCCUUUUUUAGCAUAAAUUUUCAAAAUCAUAUCAAACACCGUCGGAGAGAACUUAAAUUCUCCAUAAAUCCGAACUAAUUCAUCAUAAACAAAUGAAACCGAGCUUAUAUUUCUAGAGAGUUCGAUUAAUUCAUCCAAGUACGACCUCGUCUCGUCAAAAAGUCGGGCCUUGGACAAAAUGUGAACGAUUUUACAGUAAGCCUUGAAAUGGGGUCUGUAAUUUGGCUGGUUUGAAGCUAAUCUGAAGAAGUGAAGACAGGCGGAGGGGUUGAGUUUCAGUUUUUGGAGGACAGCGUCGACGAGUUCGUGGGAGAAUUGGAAAGAAAGGUUCUUGAGGUCUGUAUGGCGUUCGAGAACUAAAAGGCGGCAAACCCGAUUGGUGAGUUCGGGCGUUGUCAAGUUGGAGGGUUCUACCCCGGAAGCCCAUUUCAGGAGGGUCGCAGAAGAGUGAAAAGAGCGACGGCGGCAGAGGGGAAGAUGAGUAUGGAGUCUACGGGUGAAGCUGGAAAUUGAUUGGCAACGGAUCAUCGAAGUUUUGCUUUCAGUUGUCAAUUGGUUUUCGCAGCAGUAGCCAUCAAUUUAUAUGUCGAGCAAAGAUUUCAUAUUGGAUGCUUCGAAUAUUAGACACUUGGUGUGUGGUUCUUUUCUUUUUGAUUCUUCCCGCCUGCUAUAUAUAUACCCUCCUCCUACCAAUUCUUCUUUCUCAUCUCCUUUUUGCCCCUUUGCAGGGGACAGCUCCGCGUGGGCAUAGGGCCUCGACAAUAAGCAACUCUCCAUGGAUGGACUUUGGAGAUCAUUGAACACGAAUGAAUUUAAAUUCGGUUGGCCCAAAACAGGGAUUCGGGGCCCAAUCACAUGGUUGAUUGCUUGAUGCUUCGGCCUAAUUGUUGUACAAGCUUUUCAAUUAUCAACUUUUAGCCCCUCAAUUAUUUUAAAUCUGAAAUUAUGCCUUCAAUCGAUAAAAAAAAAAAAGCCAAAAUUUGAUCCUUUAGUCGAUUACCACCACUAAAGCUAAUGGAUCUAAGAAACGGAUCCAACUGAUAAAAACGGAUUGAAGGUUUACAUUCGAUAGUUUUUAUCGUUGAGGAGCCAGUUCAGGAUUUAAAAUAAAUAAGUGGCCAAAAGUUAACUAUGUUGAAAUAGUUUAAUGAUUCCCAAAGUAUUACCCUCCUAUGUAGGGAUUAAGGCCCUGUUCUCAAUUGAUGAUUUCGAAAAAGUUAUUUUGUUGUGUUUUCAACCGCUUUUCGAAAUUUUGGAAGUCAAUAACGAAGGUUAGUUUAUCAUUGGCAGAGUGGAAUCCUAAAAGAGAAUGAGGUGGGGAAGAAUAAGGAAAUAUGCUGGCAGUAACCAUUUCAGCGAGUUGUUUAUCAUGCAUGGGAAGCGAGGAAUGCUUGGAAUGUUAAUGAAGAUGAUUCAAAGAUCAAAGUGUCAGCUUGACUACUUGCAACGAGGUCUCUCAAGAGGUUCUAGUGGGGAAAAAGGUCACUAGAGAGGAGGAGCGGAUGAUGAGCAGCUGAAGCAAAUUAACCUCCUACUAGGUAGGUCAAAGUCAGUGUGGACGGGGCAUUUAGACGUGGCUGGAGCGGGUUAGUCAAUUAGAGAUGAAAUGGGGAUGUGGAAAGGAGGUUUCUGCAUCAACUUGGGUGUAACCAGGAAUGGUGAGAUUGAACCCAACUUGUUUAUCGUAGUUUCAAUUAAUCAACCAUAUAUAUAUAUAUAUAUAUAUAUAGAAUACAACAAUAAUGCAUUGACAAUUGGACGGUCCAAAGUACUUCUAAGCUAAGCCAAGAUGUCGCUUUAGGUUUGUAGCUUGGUUCCACAGUCUUCACAGUGUUCUUCAGAUCUCUGGCUCUUCUUCCGCUUGAUAAAACGGUAGAAAAUGUAUUGAAGGAUGAUCUGUGCAAAGUUAAAUUAAGGUCUAUCUAUCGACUGAAAUGUCCAUGAACCAAGAAAAGAGGGCCAAAUUCGGAAAAAAAAAAAGAAGCAGCAACAGUUAAAAAAAGGACCGAGUAUGUAGGAGUAGUAAAUAAAAUAAGAGUGUAGGAUACGAAAAGAUCAAGCGCCACGCACACUACAGCAUCUAGCAACCAAGGCAUGUUUGGUUGUAUCUUCUCCCGUUUAGUGCUUCUCACCAGGAUGCUGCAUUGGUUAAUUGAUUGUUAGCUUCUUCAAAUUCAUGUCCUUAAAGAACUAGUUCUAAUUUCUUUGGCUUAUUGUACGAAGGAGGAGGUUAGAGAGGAAUGAGAGAAUGAAAAAGGGAGGGAACCAACCUUCCCACGUAAGUAGCAUUAGCAAUGAGUGCAAACAGGAACAUGAGAGGAUUCAAGCCCUAUACCAAAAGGAGAUUAGAGCAUAACAGAAGAACGAUUAGAAACAACCAAAUAAAUAUUCUUGAAUGUAUUUGAAACACCAAGUAUUUCCCAAAGCAGAGAUAUUACCUCCACACUUCCUCUUUUAAUCUGGCCAAUUAACAGCGUGGAGGAGGGACACAAAAUGUUAGAAAAAUAAAUGCAAGUUCCAAAAAUAUAAAUUAGAAAAAAACAGAAGACUUGUGAAGAAAUUAAGUAAAAGACUGACGUUCAACCAAAUCUGGGGAAUUCGUCCGCCCAUGUAUAUGGCAGCCAUCAACCAUCCAAGCCAUUGUCCAUAUGCUCUGCCGUGAAGUUCAUAUUUUUCCUGUUCAUUAACAAUUUUCCAUCCCCAAGUUUCUGCUUCGAUCAAUGCAUAGAAACCCAAAAAAACUACGUAAAGUUGUAAAGAUGCCGGUUAAAAACCUCUAGUAAUCUCCUCCCAACAAAGUUCAGCUGGGAAGCCUUACUUCCUCUUGGAAUGUAGGCAGAAGCCGCAAGAAAUGUCCCGUAUCCCGCCUGAACAGGGUAAAUUAUGAUUACCCAUUUGCUUAAUUUUUGGAUAAAAACUUUUCUAUUUACUAGUAGUAUUAAUCAUUCUGCAAAUUAACUCACAGGCCCUGGAAUGAGGCGAGGUUGACUGACUGGUCUUUGGUAGAAUUCUGGUGGGAUUGCUUCUUCGUCUUCAGAUGAGGACUCGCUUUGGUGCUCAAGGGCAGGUGGACCGCUCUUUGGCUUUAUGUAAGACUGGAUUGGAGGAGUAUCACUUCCAGCCAAAGACCUAGCUGACCUAUAUAGAUUCAAAGCAACCCAAAGAGAAAAAUGAAAAAUUACCCCGUGGUCAAAACGGAAAAAAAAAAAGAAAAAGAAAAAAAAAAUAAGGAAGGAAGAUAAUAGUGUGCAAAUCUCACCUGAAAUGGAAGUCCCUCCGACGAGGUACCUCAAUCGGAGCAUUUCUUCUAUCUCUACCACUUCGAUCAUGUAGAUUUUGUUUUAAAGCACUCCUCUCGUUAUCGUCCUGGAAAGAAAGAUACAUAUACUUUGUUAAAAAUUUCUUUUUUGAUUAUUUUUUCCUAUAUUGUCAGCGUAUAUACUUAUAAUAGAUUUAUAACAUGCAUGUCACAUCAUUUUAACAUGAAUUUAAAUACUAAACUUUAUAUAUGUGAUAUACAUCUAAACAUAUUACUGUAUACAUUGACUGAUUGACAGUACAUAAAAGAUUUAUUUUUUCAUUUUUUUAUGUACUAUACUUCAUCUAAUUACUAAUAUCUAGUGCUAUAUAUCUAUCAUGUCUCUGGUUGUGCUCGGUUCGUUGGUGGGAAUUGGCCUUGAACUAGAAAAAGCGUUUUUUUCUUCUUUUCAAAAUUUCAAUUCUGGCUUAAAACUAAUUCUGAGGACAUGCAUAUAUAGAAGAAAACAUUAAAGUGCGUACAGUUUUUAUCUGCUACCUUAUUUACUUUGGUUUUACGGCCCUUCCAUAUCCGGAUGAUAUGGUCAUAGUAUAUACAUUGCAAUGCCAGUACUACUGUCGUUGCUGCGUACAACUGCAAAGAAAAUUAACCGUUGAUUAAAGAUAUAUCUUGCUAAUAUAUAUGCUCGAGGGACAUAGUUCUUUGCAAGUUAUAUCCCCAAAAGUGGUAAUGUUCAAGGGCAAGAGUAAGAUUAGUUUUACCACUGCCGUGUAAAACUGGGUAGGUAACUGCAGAAAAAAAGAACAAAAUUUCCGGUGAGAAAAUAAUACCCAUAAUUAGGUAAAGAUGAAAUUGAUACAAACAUUGCUAUAGGUAUAGACGAAUGUCAAGUUAAUUUUGGUGAGAGUGUAACAUCGCUAGCCCUUCAAAAAAAAUAAAAAUAAAAAUAAAAAUUGCUAGUGAUAAUAAGAUGACAUUGAAGUAAAAGGUAUCAAGUUAGGUCACAAAAGAUAACCAAAAAAAACAAAUAUUUAUUGAUUUAUUUAAUACCUGUGCCAAACUUAAUAUCUUCAACAAUCCUUCUAGGAACACGUGGUAUAAUUGUGGUCUCCACUUAUGUCAACCAAAAAUUUACACUAAUUUAAACAGAAGAGAUAGAUUUUCCCUCAAAAAGGUAAAAACAUAAGAGGUAGUUCAUUAAAAUCUACAAUGACAAAUUAAGCUAGUAGAAUUUCUUGAAAGCCAUCAUCGCAAUCAUCAAAGACAAGACUUUGCCGGUAUUCCCCGGCCACUAGUCCUCUUGUCUUCUUUCAUUUCUCUACUUUUUGUUUACCCCCUUUGAAAUUUUUUUUUUUUUUUGGACAAUAGUACAGUGUACCCAUAACAUAAUACGAGUUGGAGGGAAGCAAGAAAUGUUUUAAACAGAAAAAAAAAAAAAAAAAAGAAAGAUAAUGCAUAGCCCUGUACCGUGGCUGGCUCCAGAAUGCAACCGACGAGGUUGAACACGUCGCUGCAUAUAAGAUUUUUCAGUACAUCAGAUUUACAAAGUUUAACCAAAUUUCUGUACGAGGAUAAAUUAUGGCAUAUAAUUAGCAGAACAGUAGUUUAAACUAGAAAGGUACUAAUUAAUUAUUGCGUUGCAUGUAACCGUGGACAAGCAAGUACCCGACAAUCCAAGUGGAGAUAAAUGCAAGGGAGACUCCAUCGGCAGAUUUGCUCUUGAAGUUGGUGAUGAUCUGAGGAAUUUCUGCUACAGCCCAACAGACCAGACUUGCUAUUCCGAAAGCAAAUGAGAUUUCAUCCUUGAGGUUGCAGAGACAGUCCUUGAAGUAUUUCUCCACCCAUCUAACACAUGGUUUUUGCUCCACCGGGCAGUAAGAGAGUUUUAAGGGCUUCAUUUUGUUGCUAUCCAGGGUGAUCGACAAAAAGCUUAUGCAAAUUUAUACUAGCCGGGGCACGAUGUAGCACGCGCCAAUUAUUGCAAGUUACCCCAAGUAAAACCAUACCCUUAGAGAAACACCCCAAAUUAAAAGGACCAAAUCCACAAUUACACCUACCAAAUCCACAAUUUGUGAUACUUGCGAUGACAUCAUUUCUGUUUCUUUUAGUGCUGCAUUCGAAUGUAUUGUUUUCAAAAUCAACACUCAUGCGCUAGUAAUAGAACUGGAAAUGAUUCGAAUGAAAUUGUGCUUUGAAAGUUGCCAGGUUCAAUUCAAUAUUCUGGUCUCGAGCUCAAUAUGAGCUUAAAAUUUGAGCUCGAACUUGAUCCGUCCUUAUAUUUAGUAUGCUUGAACUCGGCUUGAAAACUUGACAUUAAUAUUUGUUUAAAGUUAUUCUAUUAAAACACCAAUACACAUAUUUAUCUCAAAAGAGCAGUCAAGCUCUAUUGAGUCAAAUGUUACGAAUAUUUGACCUGAUCAGACACUUAAAUGAAUCUUAAUUAUGUUUUGAGGUCAUAUAUAAAAAAAUCUAAUUCAGAUCGAGCCCUUGAUAUUAUACAUAAAAAGAGUUCAGACUUUUUCCAUUAGUUCAUUUGUAGCACAGUUUCAAUUUCCUUGUCCAUAUUCUUCUAGACAGGGAGGUCUUCAUAUUAAUGAAUGAAUGGGUAGAAUAGUGGCAAAAAGAUUUGGAAAAAAGUUGACGAGUGAUGCCAAUGCAAUUCUUGAAACUUACAGGGAAUGGUUUUGUAAUUAUGACAAAUAUUUGUGGAGAUAAAAAAGAAACAACAAAACCGCCUGCUACGUAGUGAUGUUUGGUUGAUUUUUGCCUUCUUUCACCAGCCACCAAUGCACACACAUGGGAUAUUCGAAAUAGACCAAUUUAAGAUGAGUUUUAUUCCUCUUACAUUCGAGAGAAUCAGUAUCGACAAUAUUAUAAGAAAAACAAUAAAAAUCAGCAAGAGCAGGUGGUGUAGCAUAUUCUAGGUCAUAUGCUUUUCUUUUCUUUUCUUUUUUUUUCCACAAACGAAGGUCAUAUGCUUUUCUUUUCUUUUCUUUUUUUUUCCACAAACGAAGGUCAUAUGCUUUUCUAAAUCGUACAAAUAUUGGCUGUUUUCUUCUCGGAGUCGGAGGUUGGUCGCCAGCACUAAACAUAAACAAUACUACUAAUUUAUACUCUGUCAGGUGCAACGGGUUGUUUUUGUCUGGAAACAACUCGAGCUCCAUAAGACAGCUGAAAAUGUAGUCAAAUGACUAAAUGCAAGUGGCGAUACAACUUGGCAAUUUUAUCUCUUCAAAUAAUCAUUGAUUAAUUCGAUGGCUUUUGGUAAUCUCUAAUGGAUAAUGGCAAAAUGAGACACGUGUGCGGCCAAUUUUAGAAAAUAUUUGCCUUAAGAGAAGAGUAAAUUCAAGAAACACCAUGGCAUGUUGUUUCCCAAAGGACUCGUCUUGGCUUUCCCUUCCACAAUAUUUAUUAUCUUCUGAAAUGACCGCACUUUCUUUAGUCUUUAGUCUUUAGCGGGGAAUGAACUGAGAGCUGUCAUGGGAGUAAUUAACAAAAAGGAGGGAACAUAUCUUUGAUAUAAUAAAAAAUUUUCAUCGAAUUCUCCAUGAGUUGUUGAAAUCAUUCAUGCGAGUGGGGGCAAACUAGAGGUGGCAAUAUGGAUAAAUGGUUCAUAAUUGGUUUUGACUUAAUGGAUGGUGGAUGAAAUUUAUCCAAUCCAUUUAGAUCCAUUUAAUAAAUGGAUCUAAAUGGAUGGAUCUAAAUGGAUUAUAUAAAAACCAAUUAUCCAUUUAUAAUCCAUUUAUAUAUUUUGGUUACUUUUUUUUUUUUUGUAUUACCAAGUAACUAUACCCAUUCCUGAUCCUACCAAGUAAGAAUUUCAUGAAAAUACUAAAGUAUUUCCAUGUAACUGUCAUCUUAUAUGAUCCAAGACAGAGGACAAUCAAAUGAACAAUAUUGCUGGUUGAACGAUGUACAUUAGUAUUUCCAUGUAACUGUCAUCUUAUAUGAUCCAAGACAGAGGACAAUCAAAUGAACAAUAUUGCUGGUUGAACGAUGUAAUGUACAAGACUUAUGCAGCAAGAGCCAUUGUCCUUGAAGAUUUCCAUGCAAGCUCUAGCUUGAACAGCAUCCAAUCUCUUCCAAGAAGAUCCCUCAUCUUUGAUAUUGAUCGUCUCUCCUUUAGGAGGAACAGAUGAAGGAGCACCUUCAUCAAUGGCCUCGACUGCCUUCCUACACGAGUAAAGCACCAACAGCUCCUCUGUAGUAAGCACUGGUAAUGGCAUGGUACCUGCAGCGGGCAAAGGAAGCAUAUGAAUGCAGAAGUUAAAUGCUUUACAAUUUAUUUAUGCAAUUCCAACUACUUGUCAUAAUUCAGAAAUGCAUUACAGCUCAAGUACUUGAUUUCAGCUGUAGUGCAUAUGAGCUAAAUACUCCUUUAACUUGGGCAUAAAAAAAAGUUCACAAAAAUUAGAUUUAAACACAAAAGUUUGCAAGAAAUAAGAACAAACAGAAAAAGUGAUUAGAGGAUGCUAUAAAGAAAUGCUAAUAUGAUUAAAAUUUCUUGGUAGAGAUAUGGUCUUAACAAAAGUGCAGAGAAAGUAUGCAUGCUAAAAAAUUACACACAACAUGGCCUAGGAAGCAUAUGAUGCUGCCACUGAGAAGUUUGUAGUGCUAUAGAUCAUAACCUUCCCAAAACACAGCUCCUCUUUUAGUCCAGCAAGGGCAGUGAAUACUAGUCCCUAAGGAGUGAAAGAAGACACGAACAAAGGGCCCAUCAAGAAGCUGCAAAACUAGAAACCAUACCAAAUAAGCAACAGCUAGGAGUCUACAAUCCCAUCCAAUCAUCCAUGAAGGCACUCUAAUAAAAUACUUAAUUGCUUCAUAAAUCAGUAACCAUAUUACCUUUGAGCAAUCCAAUAAGUCACAUGACUAGAUUUCCUCUUCGUAAACCUCCCUAUUGGAGCCAAGAAGUUUUGUAACUAAUGGAGCAAAAUCUGUAAUUAAUGCAGCUUCUUCCUCGGCAUUUUCUUGUGAAACUAUAUUAAUAUCAUAAAACAGCAAAUACGUCAUUUCUAAAUAAAGAAAAAUAAUAAUUUAACUACCGUAAAUAUUAUGUGCAGUAAAAGAAAUUUUUAACAAAAUAAAGAAUAUAUAAAAUACUUACAUUUUUCACCAUAUAACCAAUCUUUAGUGCAUAUUAAAGCUUCUACAUUCUCUGGCAAGAUGGUACUACGAUAUUUGUUGAUAAUCCGACCGCCAACGCUGAAAGCGGACUCUGAAGCCACUGUAGUAAUAGGAAUACUCAAAAUGUCUUGUGCCAUCAAUGAAAUCGCUGGAUAUCGAUUUCUAUUUUCUUUCCAAAAUUGAAGAACAUCCAAAUCUUCUUUUGCUGGAAGCCUAUUCUCAUUUAAAUACAAAUCCAACUGUGAUGUAUUCCUGUUCAAAUUAUAGUGUUCACUUUCAUACAUGGUAAACUCAUCUAUUUCAUCAGCAAGAUUAGAAGAAACUCCCUCACUAAAAGAUGCUACUUGUGAUGAAUCUGCCAUAACGGAGGGAUAUAAUUGCAUAUAAUCAUCAAACAUGAAAUGCAGUUUCUCACGAAUCUCCCUCACACGUGUAGAAAAAGUUCUCGGGUAUAUCUUUGUCAAACAAAACUCUACCCAUUGCAACUUAAAACGUGGAUCCAAUAUCACAGCAAAACUCAAAACAAAACUGUAACACUCCCAAUAUUUGUUAAAUUUAUCAUGCAUUUUCAUAGCCAUUUGCACAAAAUCAUCAUCUUGACUAUGCAUUUCUUCACAAAUCAACUGCUGAAUUUUCCAAACCCCAUGAAAAUAUAAAUUAGCAGUAGGAUAAUGAGAUCCAGAAAACAAUGUAGUGAUAUCAUAAAACGGUUUUAAAAACAGAGAUAUGCGAUGAACCUUUUUCCACUCUUCAUCUGUUGGAAACCAUUUAUAAUUUGGAUCAACUAACUGCAAUUCUUGAAAUGUUCCUCGAUGCUCCAAAGCAGAUUCACACAUAAGAUAUGUUGAAUUCCAUCUUAUUGAAAUAUCUUGUCGAACUUUCUUUUUGCAAUUGAUAGAGACUCUAGCAAUGCAUUCAGCAAAUUUGACUUUUCUUGCUUCACUUGACCGAACAUACUUGACAGAUUCCCGUAUUUUUGAAAGAGGUUGCUCAACUAUUUCUAAACCUGCUUUUACUAUCAAGUUUAGAAUGUGUGCUCCACAACGUACAUGAAAGAAUUCUCCAUCACACACCAACGGACCAGCAAUCUUCAAAUGACGCUUCAAAACAUUCACCAAAACAUCAUUGUAGGCUGCAUUAUCCAUAGUCAAUGAGAAAAUUUUCUUUUCAAUUCCCCAUUCUCUAAUUAAAUCCAUUACCCCUGUUGCCAAAGAGACACCAUUAUGUGGUGGAGGAAUAUGACGGAAAUUCAAUAUCCGUUUUUGGAGCACCCAAUUUUCAUCAAUAUAAUGAGCCGUAAGUGCCAAGUAACCAUCUGUAGUGGAUGAACUCCAUAGAUCGAAUGUCAAACAUAUUCUACUCUUCACAUUCUCUAAGGCAUGUUUAAGAGUUUCUUUUUCUCUCGAGUACAUUCUCACAACAUCUGCUUUGAUUGUGUUUCUUGAUACAGGUUUUGACUCUUCACAUAAGAAGUUAUGCAGAUCUUGAAUGCCCUCAUGUUCCACAAAUUCAAAAGGGUAAUUAUGUUUUAUAAUAGCAACUGCAAUUUUUUCACGAUACAUAUGUUGAUCCAAAGGAGCCCCAAAGCUUGUAUUCUUCAACUCUCUCCACUUGCAAGAUUCAAAAUGCUUGAGCAUAUUAGAUGUUCCAGAAUUACCUUUUAAUAAAUAUGUUUGUGCACACCAUUUACACUUAAUUUUUUUCCUUCCAUCAGCAGUCACUGCUACAGUAUCAAAACCAUCCCAAGCAAUUGAUGUUUGCCUCCUAAUUCGCUUGGCUGAACUUUCUCCGGUAGCCUCUCCACUUUCAGGUAUAGAAUCUGUUGAUGAAACUCGCUCAACAUUGUGCUCUUCUUCUCCUUCCAUUUGAACAAGUACCUAAUAUUCAUUGCACCAAAGAAUAGAAAAAAAAUUCAGAUCUUAUUAAGUGCAAAAUGACAGCAAAAAAAUACUAGUUAGAGGAAAGGAUUAAGAUAACAUUAAACAUUUAGAAGUCCAGAAAUCCCAAGCUUGCAAUUUAUCAUGCAUUACUUACUCUAAAAACUAAAUUUUGAUCAGUUUGCCAGAUUUCGAUGCAUGCAAUCAUAUGUCAUGUCUUCUAAUUAAUGUUAGACAUAACAACUCUAACUAAAUUUCCUAAUGUCCUCAUCACAGUAAUGAAUUCAACUAGGAAUAAGGACCUGGGAAUUAGUUGUCUGCUAUAACAUGAAUCAUUCUAGAGAAAAAUAUUGUACAGAAUCUCAUUCCAGGUAUCAGUGACUCCAGGGAAGCUCUCGUUGAAGUAUCCAUUUUAUCUUGUAGUGCCAAUUGACAAGUCCCUUCCCAACUUAGUUGGGAUUUCUGAACCACAAAUUCUGUGGUGCCAGGCUUGCACUCUAAUCCUCCACAAGGAAUCGUUGGGAAAAAGUAAUGGGUUUGCUUCAAAGCCAAUCGAAUCUCACUUGUUUCAGCAUUACAACCAAAAGACUUACAACUCCUAGUCGUCACAGCAGCUAGCCACAUGCAAAUGAAAUGCGAUAACCCCAAUAAUUCAAGUUAAUUAGCCAGCCCAAAAGCUUUGAUUUAACAAAUAUUGAUUGGAAACUCAACAACCUAGAACCAGAAACAGAGACAGACCCGUUCCCUCCUAAUUAUCAAACAAUUUAAGCGCAAACGGAAAACAAAGACGAAGAUAUCAGCAAGAAAAGGAUGAAGAUUUACCUCCGAUCACUUGCCCGCAAAAUUCAUCCUCACUCGAUCUGGGAUCCUGGGUUGGGUAAAAUUUUAGGAGGAUUCAGACAGAGAGGAUGGAUUUAGUUAAGUAGUGAUUAGAACAGAGGGGAAUGGGAGGCGAUGGCCGUGAAGGAGGGAACGAAACCGGUGAAAACGAGGGAGCACGGGGACGGCAUUUUCACAUCCCAACGUUCUAUUUUAGAAUAGCUCAUUUUUUAGUCAUUUGCUGUCCGUUUCUUUUAUUUGGUUUUCAAGUAAAUGGAUAUAUGUGGUUUUUGUGGAUAAUCCAUAUAAAUCCAUUUAAUUUAAUGGUUUUACUUUGAUAAACCAUUUAAAACCAAUAUUAUAAAUGGAUAAUCCAAAUCCAUUUAAUUAUGGUUUAUAUGGAUGGAUAAAUGGAUUUCAAUCCAAAUUGCCACCUCUAGGGCAAACCGUAUCCUCCCAAAGAGGUGUCCACAUUAUAACGACAUUCUAAUGAUAAUCUUCCAGUUUCUUUUUUUUUAUUCAUGGACAGGGAACAUAAGAAGCUUUAUCAGACCUUUAAUUUCCAAUUUUUUUCUCUUUUUUAUUUUUAAAAAAAAAGUUUUCGGAGCCGGCCAAUCAAAGUAUUUAAGAAAAUCGUUCGAUCAGGGGAUUGUUCUCUGAUUAAUUGUUUUAAUUGAUUAUAGAUUUUGAUUUUGAGUGAUUAAUUUUUUUUUAAUGUUCUUGGUUGCUUUUACAGUAUCAUUAUAUAGAUAUGUUAAAAUUUAAAAGUGCUAAGUAUGCAGGAGAUUGACGUUGAAACCCGGAUGUCUUUGUCAAAUAUCGCCAUUAAGCAGCGGAUAAUGACAAAAAGAGACGUGAAGAACGCCAUCGAUGCGCAGCAUCUAUCCUGCAAACCAACCAGGAUUGUCGGUAUGUGCAGCACCCCACAAAGAUUACUUACAGCUAUGCCGUCCGAUAUUUGAUAUUUCUGUUAAUCUAACGGUGCAGAAGAAAUCCAACUUUGGGAAACGAGUAUUGAUAUUAACCAUAACAUACUUUAUCAUGGACUACUUCACAGGAAAUGGAUAUUCAACGAAAAGACCCUUUGCUCGACUUUGCUUGACCUUAUCAUCUACUUUAGCCAAUUUAAAAGAUGGCAAAAGUUUUAAGGUUCAACGUUCGUUUCAUUUCCGAGUAGAAGGCCCCCGCACUCUCCAAGAAGUUCAUUUUAAUACUGGGAAAAUUGUCCGAAGCUUUCAUUACAUUUCGUCCAAUAUAUUUGUCCGUCCUUUACUUUAAAAUAUUAAGUUUACAUCCUUUGUAAAUUUAAAUUAACAAAAUUUGAUCGCAACUUAAAUUUUUGAUCACUUUUUAGUUUGAAAUUACUACGUGACCGAUAUGUUGUCCAUUUUUAUAUAUAUAAAAAAGUCAAAUCUCAAUUUUUACUGUAAAAUGAAUAUGGAUUGGAUUGGAUCCCACUUUUUUGAGGGAAAAAAAUAUGUUUUGAGUCAGAACCUACUUUUUCUAAAACAAAAAUGAAUAUGAACCGAGUAAUUUGUUUAACUACGAAUAUGACCUAACAUGUUUGCCCCUAAAAAAAUGGCCCUAUGUGGGUCACAUAAUGGAUUCAGACUAAAAAGUAGUACAAAAAAAAAACUUAGGUUGAAACCAAAGUUUACUAAUUUAAAUUUUGUAAGAGACGUAAAAUAAAAAUUUUGACUAAAUAUGAGGGAGGUUUUGACCAAAUUUUCCUUUAGUAUUUGUUAAACUUAAGUAAGCUUGAACUAUUUAUUUUUAUUAUAUAUGUACAUGCUCUUGAAUUCAGCUUCCAAACAAAUAUGUCCUGUAUCUACACUUGCAAAUUACAUACAUACAAACAUAUCUAUCUAUGAUCCUACCUCUGAAAAAGAAGUUUUUUUUUCAAGGGACUAACAGACAUAUUAUACACGAUUAGUUACAAAAACCUGACCAGGUUCAAUGUAUGAUGCUUAGUUUAUAUUGCAUGAAAAAGGAAAGAACAUAAUGAAGAGAUAAAAGGGAAAAAAAAAAACUCAAAGAAAACUCUCGCUUGGCACCUUAUGUAACUAACUGCGUCCAGAUACAAUGUAUCAAUUGGGAGCCAGCACUAUGGCAGCUGCCGUCGGGACUAAACUAUGAAUUCGGGAGUGACUCAUCACGGGUCGUCGGAUCCAUAUAGGAUUUUACGUCCUCCAUUUAUCAAAUUUCCAAUGCAUGGCUAAAUCUAUUACGAAAAACAUAUUCAUCAAUAAAAUGAAACAAAAUUCCACGCAUUCCAGUAGCCAAACAAUUGAAAGUGUUCAUAAAUAAACCUUCGGUGCACUUGAGCAUGCAUGCAUGAAUUCUUGCAGUCUUACAACAUUUACGAUUAAAUAUUCAUCAAUUUACUUGAUGAGGCCUAAGUUAUAACCCCACCCAGUCUUGCCUUUUGUGUAGAAGUUACAUAGCUUUUCUUACCGAAAACUUUUUACUUGCUAUCAACUCAUUCCAACCAGAUAAAUUAGCAUCCCAAGUACUAAAAUGGUCGAGGAUGAAGCAACGAAGUCUAUUAUAAGAUGCAUGUGUUAAUGCUGAUUGCAGCACUCCCCAUCCUGCAGGUAUCACAUGUACCCAACUUUUUACCAAUCUUCCCACGACAAUCGACGUACAUAUUUGAGUUGCGUGAAUGGUUACGAUGACACACGUAAUGCACGGACGCCAUUUGUAUAGUAGCAAUCAAGGAGACGAAUUGAUAACAUGACUAGUCACUAUGAUCUGCCUGUCAAAAUGAGAUUUUUUAUGAAUUUUUUGCUAUAUUUUUUAAUUUUUUAUUAUAUAUUGCUUUUUUGAAGUUACUGUAUUUAUAUUUUACUUAAUUAAUAGUUAUUGGAUCUUAAGGAAACAAAAAGAACUUAAACGUGAUGUUUAUGUAGGAGAAAUAACAAUAUAAUAAAAAAUGGGACAGAGAGUGAUACAGGAUGUGGGACAGAAGAUCUGUUGCGUGUCACAACCCUCCUUUUUUUUUUCUUUUUUGUUUGAUAUUAUCCCUCCCACAUUCUUAACUUGUUCGUUCGAAUACAUUUAGUGAUUUAGAUGUUAGGUGCGUAGCAGCAGUUUUAUGGACGGUAGUGAAGGAAAAGGUUGCUAUCCAAAGAUCAACCGGCUGGUUGAGGAUAAGGCGCUCUUCAGUCAGUCUUAAUUUUGUGCGUGCAAGCGGGCAAAUUAAUGUUUGCUGGCUUUCCUGAAUCAUGACAGCACAAGGGGCCUGGGGAUUAAUUAAUUUGCUUUUAGAACCGGAGUUGCGGAAUUUUGAAGCUCAUCGGCGUAUGUCACCAUCGUUCAUUGGCAGUUCAAGUCGACACAAGUUCUGGGUUCUGCGGAGAGACAGGUGUUGGCUUAAGCUAUAGGAUGGAUGGAUUUACAUGCACGAGUCACCAGGAUUGAUAUGAGCCGUAGUUCUUUAAUGCUUCCGUGAUUGUUCUUUGAUCUUUUGUUCUGCAUUUGGGAUGGGAGGUAUACCUCUCCUGAAACAUCCGUUUGUCGCGUAAAGGUUAUUUAAUGCGUUUUACAUUUUCGUGUGAUUGACAGGUUAUUGCAUGAGUCGAAAUUCAUCCGGUGCGCACUCUCGCGUAACGACAUUGGCUUCCUUUGUCAACAAAAUAAUUCCAGACCCUUUCCAUGCAAAAUUCCUAAUAUAAAAUCUUACCGUUUUGCACAUCGAUGCUUGGAAUUAAAAUAUGUUGCUGGUACUAACAAGGGUUUCUCCCUUCCAAUCGUGGGAAUUAUUUAUGUUAGCGAAUUAAUAGUACUCUACCACAGAUUAUACCUUUGAGACAUGGAUUCAUGAGCCAAUCACUACUACAUUAAAACUGCCAUUGCCCAUAUCUUAGCUGGAAUGGUGAAGGGCACUUUUUUGGUUGAAGGAAAAGGGGGGAAAAAAAAAAGGAAGGAAAGAAAGGGUGAAGGGCGCUUCUUAAAGCCAACGAACAAAGACUAUAUACACUUGUAAUAUGAUCAAUAGCUGGAACAAGCCAUCAUAACCUGAACGUAUUCUAAAUUAUAUGAACACUCGGAAACUGACCCUUUAAGUUCCCAUACAUAAUUAGAUAGUAAAAGAAAUAAAACAACAUGCAGUAUAAAUUGAGAACUAUAUAGUUACAGAAUCAUUGCAUCAAGUUCACUGGGAAUGCUUGUUCACGUCGUACAAGGGGAUUACUCUAUAUUUGUUUUCUUGAUAUAGUGGUGAAAAUUUUUCCCAAAACAAGCAACAUGGGCCGUUUACCCAUGACCCAAUCUCCAGUCCAAAACACUAAACUUGUCAUAGUUGUCAUUUCGACAGGGUACCCAUUUAUAACUGGCUGAUUACUUUCAAAAAUUUUAGAAGAUGGGCACGGUCUAUUUUGCAGACUAACAUACGUGCGGACUUAUUUGUCUGCAGCCCAAAAAGGCAUGGUUUAUGUGCAGACUUGCAUAGACAGUUAAGUAAAUAUUGUCGAUGCUUGUUCAUUUUUUUCUAUUGUUUGUGUGGGAUGUGAUUUUUUUUUUUUUUAAGAUUUGGGAUUUCUUAUAUCUAUCUCGUCAGUUGUCACGACAAUAUCAGAACUUGAAAUAGUUAAUUAGCAGAUGUGGUGUUGGCAAUUGAACAUGUAUAGAUGUUCUCGGUGUUUUAUCUUUGAAUAUGUUUAGAGUUUCACGGCGAAAUCUUUCUUUUUAUCAAAUUUUCAAAUCUAUAGUAUUUGUUCUUUGAGAUUUAUUAUGCAUGCAUAUGUCUGAUGUAAUUUCUACCAUUAAUACAAAUUUAAUAACAUUUUGAUGUUUUAUCCAAAAAAAAUUUAAAAAAAAGUAUGAGAAAAGCUCAUAGUUAGUUGGGUAUCGAAAGGUACUAGAAACUUUUUUAAACUCCCAAUGGAAAUAUUUUGCAACCAUAAUUAUAUAAACCAAAUGAAACUAAUGCAGAUAGUACGGCAGCCUCCUGCAUCCUUGUCUUUCACAUACAGCGUGACAUAGAUAGAAGACAAUUCUGAUAAAUUUCUCUGCUACUAAUUAUGCUCCUCAUGCAUGCGAUUACGAUGAACAGUUAUAAUAUAUGUAGAGAUCGAGACUGAAGUUACAGCUAUUAGUGAUUUCUCCAAUUAUUUGUGUUUAAAACGUCAUCUAUAGAAAAAUUUAUUCUGCAAAGUGCGUUGUUAGGCAGGUCAAAACGUUAACCAACUUUACGGAACCUAUUGCAAAAGCUUCUAUACUCUAUAGUGUUUGCCUAACACUGCCUAUGUAGCAAGAUAGUGCAGGUACACUUAAUUAUUCUUGCCAUGUUCAAUUCGGCAGGUUUGGUUUGUGCCUGUGCGGUUGGCCAUCAAUUGAGCGGUCAUGCAUGUAAGCAUUGACGAAUGAAUGUGUGAUACAGCCCAAAUUGAUUUGAUGUGUUUUUAGUGGCCCAACUUGCUCAGAGGUUUCCCAAAAGAAUUGUUGUUUAGUACAUCAUAGAUUGAGACGGAAUGAAGAGAUUAAGGAAAAGGAUAAACAUCACAUAAUGUUAGCCGCACACCAAAUUAUUGCCACAAUUUCAGGGGUCUUUCACGGAAGAUGCAGCAAGAAGAACCUUACGAAAGUUAAAAUCUUAAAAAGGGUACCAAAAUUUCCAGUAACUUUCCGGGAGAAAAGUUACUAGUACUACCAUUUUCAGUUUCAGGUGAAGUCAGCUCCAAUUUCAAUCCAAGCAACUACGAAGUUGCCAUGCAAUUUCAUUAAAGACUGCCAGCCAUUAUUGUUAUAGUUGUUUCUACGUUAUUUCUCUGCAAGUUUCCUUCCGACCGUACCUCUCCGCUCAACUUGCUUGAAUAUCUCGACAAACAAUUGUUGUACGAGAUAUUCAUUCAGCAUAAGUGCCUAUUCAUCUGUAUUACACAGCGAGUACUUUUUUGCUUCAGAAUCUAUACACACUAUCCCUCAAAAACAAAAGGUCAUCCACCAAACAAUGGCAACAGCUACCACCAUUGCUGCCAAACCAUCAAAAUGGUUCGCCAACAAAACUUUAAAGCUAAGCCUCCCUCGUUUUCGUUCAAAAUCUAGAUCUUCGACCACUUCUUCCUCCUCCGCCAAUUCUUCACCAAAAACUAGCACCAGUACCAAAGAAAAUGAACUUCGACAAGUUUUUAGCUACUUUGAUGAUAACAAAGAUGGCAAGAUUUCGGUCGAGGAACUUAGAGCAUAUUUCUCUUCUGUCGGUGAUUCAAUGUCCCGUGACGAGGCUCAAAGGGUGAUUCUGGAGUUCGAUAAAGAUGGAGACAAUUUGUUAGAGUUUGGAGACUUUGUUCAAUUAAUUGAAAUGGACAACAAGGGUGACGAGGCUAAUGAUUACGUUAAGAAAGCCUUCGAGAUGUUUGAGGAUGACAAGGGCUCGGGAUGCAUCACUCCUAAAGGACUGCAACUAGUUUUGAACCGUCUUGGAGAUCCAAAAUCCUUGGAAGAAUGUGAAGCCAUGAUUCGAGCUUAUGAUCUUGAUGGCAAUGGAGUUCUAGAUUUCAAUGAAUUCCAUACAAUGAUGUCCUAGGCUCCCAUGAUUCCCCAACACACGCACGCACCACCCAAAAACUCCCCCCCGGGCGGGAACAUGUUGAACUUUGUUUGCUGUUUUUUUUUUUUUUUAAUUGUACUAUAAAGCCUGUUAUCGUAAGUGUUUUUACAAAUUGCGUAGUUAGUAGUGUUAGAAAUUCUACAUAUAUAUAUUUUUUUAAUUUCAUUAGAAUUAUGCAGUAUGGAGGGCAAUGGGUACUAUUUGAUCGUGCAAAUUCCCAGAGACAGUAAUGGGGCCUUUAGAGGAUUUUCUGCGGUACUGGGAUGUAAGGCUUGUGAGUUUAGAUGUUAACUUGACCCCGUGUCUCAAGGCCCAAUUAAAUGUCUUGGAGAUGUCGUAAUUCCAGCCCUCCUUAACCAUUUGAAGCCCAGCGCCUUCAGGCCUAGUAGGCCCAUCACAUCGUUUUAAAUUUCAACCCGUUUCGCAAGAGCUUGAUUUGGUUCCCCCUUGACUUGAUUUUACGAAAACUGAUCACGAAAAGAGAUUAUAAAGAAUAAUUAAAAUUAGGUAAAACUAAAAGAGUAGCUACUCUUUGAUAGGUCUUAAAAGUAAAGCUACUCUUUGCUGAGUAAAUUUACUCAGGAAAGAUGGCUGUCUUUGCCAUUGCAUAAAUGUUUCAAUAUCUGUCACAGGUGAAAGAAAAGGGCUCUUGAAUUCAGCAAGGCAUAAAGUUAGAAGUCAGGUUUUGAAACUGAGCAAGAGGAAGAUCAAAAAUGAUUUCUAUUAAUGUCUCUGUCAUCAAUGUACAUCAAUAUAGAUGAUAUCUACAAGGUAUAAGAAUUUUAUCCUUUCUCUGAACUACUACUAUAUUCAGAAAAAAAAUUCCUGUAAGUGGCCAAAGUUUUGCUCUGACAAAAAUCUGAACAAAUCUUCUCAAGUAUAGCUAAUGUUCAAUACGGCAAGCUGCCCGUCAUUCGGACGUGGUCCAAGGUAUUACCCAGGCCAUAUUUAAGAACCGCUAGAUUAGCAGCCCUGAAACCAUUUCCAUAGAUUGGUGAUGUAUCUGAUUCAAUCUGAUGUUUGAAAAAUUCACCAAGUUUCCUCUCAAAUGGGGACCUCGUCCCUUGCUUUGAAGAUGCAGAAGCAGAAGACGAUGAGGUUGAGGCAACAUUAUUGAUCCUGGCUAUGUGAAUAAGCUGAGAUUCUAACCACAUGCGAGCUAGAACCUGACAGAUACCUUCUUCAAUGUCCUGACUGAGAGUUCGGUAACCUAUCAAACAAAGCUCAGACAUAUUAGUGUCCUCUUUACUUCAAAAAUCUGGCAUGUUUGUGGCAAUUGCCGGAAUUAAAGAGGUCUUAAUUCCAAAAUCUGGCAUUUGGGUGUCAUUGCCAGAUAUUAAGCAUCCCUACUCUCAAUCACCAUCUUUUAGUGCUUUGCUUCUAAAACAUUUGCAGAACACACCUCCAACAAAAUUGCACUUUUAAUAGAGACAAGUGCACAUGUACAACAUAUUUCUCUUUAAAAUAGCCAGAGACAAAACUUAUAACAUGUUUAAAGAUAAUCAUAAACAAAUUUGAACAAAUUUGAUUCGUUAUUCCUUUUCCAAGAAAUGUUAUAAUAGUCUCGUAAAAAAGACACACAGUCAUAGAUCCUGUGUUUCUUGUCAAACAAAACCACCUCAUAAAGGAAAUAGAAUUAAUCACUUAAAUUCAAAUGAACUACUAGUGCAUUUUUAUGUAGAAAUUAAAAAAAAAAAAUUCUCAAAGAAUAUUAGCAAUCCAAUGAAAUAGCACCAUCUAGUAGUAAAGCUAUUGGAAAAUGGAAAAACAAUGACCAUAACAACAAAGCAAUAUAUCACAAAUCCCCAAAAAGCUGAUAGUUGAUGAAAAAGUAUUUGUUCAAAUCAGGAAAACAUAAAAUCUGAAUGUCACAAAAUAAUUAGUCAAAAAGAAUCUACUUUCUCUUAUCUUCAAUUUCAAUUUUCUCUUGAUUCCUCAAAUAUAUUCAGAAACAUGAUCUGUGACAUAAAAAAAAAACUGGACAUGUUUAUGCUGAAUAGCCAAAAGUGAGACUACUAUCAGUUUAUUUAGCUAAAGCAGGAGAAGUUUGAAGUACCUCUUAGUCGCAACCAUGCAUGCAUCAUCUCAUGAGCUAGGAUUGAUCCGGUCAGCAACCUGCAGGCAGCAAAUUCUAUUUGUAUCAUACACUGAUAUUGAAACUAACAUCUGGCAGCACAUACAAUCAAAACAGUGAGCAACAUGGAAACAGUGUCUAUAGACUCAAAGAAUCACCUGUCUGUUUCCAAGAAGAACAGUAAUGGCCACAGGCAUAUUACUUACAUGACAAAGCCAAAGACUUCCUAAUUGUCGAUGUUAACUUUACAUAACGUACCUUGCCCAAAUGAACUAAAGUGUAAAAGUAAAUUUAUUUACACACUUCGAAGGACAUGAGGGAUGAUAUAUCCUUGACUCCAUAAUUAGUAGCAAUGAAGCAAUUAAGGCAUAUUCAAUUCCAUGGCCUUAUGCCAAAUUGCUCAAGACCUGAUUAUGAUGUGGCUAAGAACAUAAAAGCCUAAUACCAGUAAUCCACCCAACUAUAAGGGAAAAAAAAAAAUCUACCAUGCCUCUCACAUAAGUUCAAUUCCCCCUCGCAAAGUGCUUUCCACUCACUAUUGCAGCUUCCACAUGCAUAAUUAGAGUAAACAUGCUGACCAUGUUAAGGCCGUCAUAGUGCAACAUGUCAAUGCAAUUCGAAUGCACUUUAGAAGACUCUCAAGAUUACAAGAUCUAGGACGCAUGCACUAACGUAAUGCAAGGAAAAAGGAAAAUCUCUUUAUGUAGACGAGGGAUUGCAGCAAAUCUGUAAAGUUUAUGCUUCAGUCAUGUGGCACCUGAAAUUAGUUUUCUAUUGGCCUGUUGAACUUCUUUUCACUUGAUCUCUGCCCAAAUUGAACGUCUUAUAGUCUCAGUUGAGCAUUAAGAUUUAGAAGGAUAUUUUGUGAUUUUGGUCCCUUCAUUUUUGAACCAUUCCUAAACUCUCGAUGUCUCGCUUUUUAACAUAUUCAUCAUUUCUUACUUCCUGUGGGCGUUUGCCCAACCUCCAAGUUUGAAUUUCAACAAUUAGUACCUUCAAAAAUUUUAUCUCUGGUGCAAUUCAUAUGAAUGGAAGGGGCCAAUUAUGUCCAAAUUGAGAAUGGGUCCAAGAGAUAGCAAAAAUAGAGAAACUUAGAAUGUGUCUAAGCCAAUCAAGAGAAUAUCUAAUACUAAACUUCAUCCAUCUACGACACUUCCAGAAAUCAUGCUGUUUUCAUCUUUCUCAAGCAACUUAAUUUUAUGAGCAGCAUGGAAAAAAUUUUCUCAUACACCUUGUGUGACCUGCCAAACCCCAACCCAGUAUAAGAAAUGAAAGAAAUCUAAGAGGUGGAGAGUCUAACAUAAAACUUAUCCUCAAGUCUCACCAAAGAGGUGGAAUAUUACCUCGGAAGACCAUAUAAGAUGAGAAUUGCCGUUACUUCACAACGACGAAUCAGCUUAAAUGGCUCUGUUCUCAUGUCCAUUACUCGAUUUCCAUCUCCUAUCCUCGGUCGCCUCGAAAUCUUGUAAUUCCAGAGAGACAUUUAGCUAAUCAUUUACUUGGAUAACAAAAUGCAUGUGUGUAUCCAUAAUCCCGGAAAAAUAAAAAACAAAUUCUUACUGUGCUGACUGUUUGCUCCUCAGAAAGACAGAGCCCUCUUGUCUCAGGCAUGUGAUGAUGCCCCUGGUUUAAAUGAAAUAACUUAGAUAUAGUUAGUACUUAAUCUCUUAGAUAUAGUUCGUACUUAAUCUCUUCCAGCAUAUAUCACAAAGAAUCAAGACAAGCAAAAUAAAGGAAAGGAAUCUUCCUUAUUUCUUGGUUCAACCCCAAAAAAUAUUUCUUACAUAUUUCUCUCCAUCCCUGGCUUCAUUCAGUGCUUGUCUCUCAACUAAAAGUAAUGGUACUUGCUGCUCCACUUUCAUAUUUAAUCCCUCGUAAAACUCUUGUAUAUCAAGAUAAAGCUGUUGACACUUAUUGGUGUCCAUUAUUGCAGAGUCCAGGCACUCCAGGCAAAGCUUACGACCAUCAUCAAGGGCAACGUAUCUUGUAUCCCGGGGCUGCUUGCAGCAAUCAAGAGGUAUUUUACUCAUCAAUUAUGCACAUACAAGACUAGUUUGUUUACAUCUUUAUUGCAUACAGAGAGAGAGGAAACUGGAACAUUUUAGGAAAGGCUGUAUCAGACUAACCUCCAUUCGCUCACAGCUGCAACAGCGAGGAGUGCCAUCAUGCUCAUGAAAAGGGCAGUAUUUCUGGGACCAGAAAGGGUGUGCCCGAUAUUCAAUAAGGCCAGCUGCAUUUGUUGGAAUCUGAAGAUGCCCAAAAAAUAAAUAAAUAAAACUUAUUUUGAAGAAUAAUUAAAAUUUGAAGUAAAAAAUCAAAAGCAACUGCUCUACAGCAGCUUAAUAUUCUCAAACUUACAUUUCAAAUAAAAAGAAAAUUUUAAAAACUUAUCAAUUACUAACUACAAAAAAUCUGCACCAUUCCUAAGCGCUCCCUAACAUGUGAAUAAGUAUUUCUCUGCAAAAACAUAAUUCAAUUCUUAGAAAGCCAAGAAAAUUUUUCCACUUUGGCGAUCCACUUGCAAAGUGGCUUGGACAUAUUUUUGCUUCUUACUCUCAAAAACUAAAAGCAACAGCGCAGAGUACGUGCUGGAAAACAGUAGUUGGUAGAGUACAAUAUCAGUACUUGUGCAGCUGUAUGAGUUGAAUUAAGCAAGUCUUUACAAGAGCCCAAAGAAAAAAAUUUACAAGAGUCACUUGGCCGAACAUUUUUAUGAUAGAAGAAUUACUUACAAAGUGUUUGCAAACAUCACAUUUUGGGUGAUAAUGCUCCUUGUAGCAAGCUUUGUGAUAAGGGUAUCUGUCAUACGUUGAAAACUAGAUAGAAUAGAAGCAUACAUUAAAGGACCGUUAGAAAAAACUUUUCAGACACAGUAAGGAAAGUCAAGAAUGAAUAGCUAGGUUUCAUAACAUAAGAUACACAUAUUGCCCCAGAAGACAGAAUGCCAAAAAAUUGCCAAAGUUUACAAGAAAAACUUCAACAGAUCAUGCGCUGACAUUAUAUCUUAUUCAGCUGCUACCAAUGAAUAAUGGCCAUGAAUAAAAACGUUUAUAUGAUAAUUUAAGCAUUUUUCGCAAAUGAAAUACAGUAGAGACAUACAAGUCAAGAUUUUUGCAUUUCAAUCUGGGAAGUUAUUUUGAAAUAUUGACAAUCAAAAAAAGGAUACACUAGUGAUCUUUUUCCGCUUCUUUUCAAACAAAAUGUUUUCACAUUUAAAAUUGUCCCAUUGAAAAAAGAAAUGACAUGCACUACACGAACUAUCACAGAGGAUGAAAGAUACAAGAAACUCCCAAACAUCUUUCACAAAAUCAAGCAAAAAAUAUAUAAAAAAAAAACUCUAAUCUUUGCUUUCCUCAUUGGGGGAUUAAGUAAAGCAGAGUAAUGUAAGAUAAGAGUCAGCUAAAACCUUGCAGGCAUGGUACAACUUAUUUGGAAUAUUUUUUUUUACCUCAUAAUCAGCUAUUGGAUGGUUACAGGCAUGGCAACGGAAACAUUCUGGAUGCCACACUGCACCCAUGCAAUUCAAAAGUCGUCCAUGCCCAAUCUCAGUAUUACAGCCAGCGCAUAUCCUGCCACAACAGAAGUAGAUAAGAGAACCAACCACACUGCAAUGGUAGUAGCUCAAAAACAUGCAGAUUCCCAAAAGCUUAAUGGCACAAAAGUUUGACAGUUCAUAGGAGAACAAACAUGUUCUACCUUGUCAUAUGUAAAGGUGGUUCCCAAGAGGUUUGACCAAUCCUAUCUUUGCUUGUCAAAGAGAAGCAUAUCUUACACAGUUAUUUUUAACACUAAAAUUUUCCAAAAGCUUUUCCUCUUUCGCGAAAAGCUACAAGUUUACAUUCUAAGGAAGUGAAGGAUGACUUGUCAACCAAAAAAGACCUCAAAAAGAGUUGAAAGAACAGUACAUGGAACUGAAAACCAUAGACUUGGUUCAAGGAUAGGAGAAAAACAUGAAUUGUUUCUAAACUCUUAUCCAAUGAAUUUGAGACUGAAUGCCAACUAAAGAGAACAUGAAGCCAGUUGUACGUGUUAAUUAAGAAAACACAGACUGAGAACAACUAAACAGGGCAGAAAACUCAUCAGAUACUGUAUCUGGAACACAAACUUCCAUGUUUUAAGUGAUAGAAAAAACUGCCCACUGAAAGUAAGAGAGCUAAUUUAGCAAGCUCAAAAGUUUUCACAUACCUGAACCCUGUUGAGUAGUGGUAAGGAAUAGGUUGAUAAAAAUUUCCUGUCCCAUGUCCAUUUUCAAAUGGAACGCUACCUCUAUUUCCAUAUUGAGGUGGAGAUUCACAAGUCAAGCUCUCCUGAAGAGCUCUGGCAAGUUCUUCAUCUUCUUUCAGUUGAGCCUCACUAUCUAAUCAAAAUUGAGCAAUUUGUUAAGUUCGAAAAUUGUAUAUCGAAGAGUUUGUUUUAUUCUACCAUUUAAGGCUCUCACACAUACAUGAAUGUUUAUCUUACAGAGUGGCAAUAAUGCAAUUCUCCAUGACAUAACAGAGACCUAUUUAUCUCAAUUCAUCAUUCUAAAAGGUUAUCAGCAACCAAGAUGGUACUAUUUGAAAGGGAAAAACAAAGAAAAAUCAAGGUAAAGUUUGAAAAGUUAAAAAGAGGAAAGCUAAAAUAAGAAAAUCAAUCAACAUCAGACAGGAUAAAAUGGUAUAUUCCAAGUAGAAGACGAAUUACAUCGUUUGACAUUCACUGAUGACUUUGGUUAUAGCUUUGUACAAAUAAAUACCAGCAUACAGAUGUUAUAAACUAAUUAAACAUGUAGAACCAUCGACCAUGUGCGCUGGCAACUUAAUCUGCUGCACUAAAACUACUUUUAUUACCAUUGCUUAUAUGUGUUUUCAAGUAGUGCACAUUAGCUAAGAUCUUUGAAAUAAAGUAUGGCCCAAACAACAUUGACAAGAAAAUGAUAUGCAAGUUACUCACCAACCACAUGUUUCCCUUUCUCAUCCUCUUCUGCAAGGGAUAAUGCAAUAGCUCUGUCUAUAUCUUCUGCCUCGGACAAUGUAUCCUGCUGCAAGGCUUUCCAAACAAAUUAAGCUUUGAAUGAAGCAGAGGCAGUACUCAGGGAAGAACACGAUUAGUAGUAAGAAACUACAACCAAUAAUUUGAAAGCAAGCUAAUCUCUCCUCAACUAUAAAACCACUUCAGGGAACCACAAACCAAUCUUUGCAACAGAGAGAUUAAUUGACUAAAAUAAGCUCAACACCAUAUGGAAAGUCCCAGAGGAACUCCGGAGUCCACCAGAAUCCAGGGGUACAAAUGAAUCACAAGUAGUACAUACAUACUAGAGAAGUUCGUGUAACUUUUCUGACAGAAUGCCACACCAAACUCUUAGCAUAACUCAUAACAUACAUAGGCCAAGCUUCAGCCAACUUAUUUCAAAUAUUCAAGCAAGCAUUGAGCUAUAGACAACAAGAACUAUAUCAGAUUUCAGGGUGUAUAGAAAGUUUCACUGCUGUAGUGUAGGACAAGAGGAGCGAGAAACAUAUAGUAGCUGUUGUCUAAAACUCAUAAAUGUCAUAAGAAAAAGCAGAGACAGCAGCUUAGAAAAGACACUCACCAAUGAAGUGGAAGGAAAAUUUCCUGGAAAAUCUGCUCUGUAUCUGCUUCUGUAUCCACCAUCUGAAACAUUAUGAUUUGAUCCUUUAAAAAUUUUACUGAACCAACCCAUUAUGUGCUUAGAGGAAGUUCCCCCAGUGGUCUUCUCCUAAAAAAUUUAUGACAUCAUGGCAAAUGACACUUCUAUCUGCUAAGAAUUAGUGGCAGAAAAGCAAUGAGACACGGAUUUGUCCAUGAAAUGCAUUAAAAACUUAACAAAAUUACACACAAAUUCAUCACAAGAGUAAUUAUUAAUAAACAUGAUAGACAGGCUCCCUCUGGAAGUUUGAUCUAGGUAAUAUUACUGUGAAACUAUAAUGAGGCAAUCUGCAGGUUCUAAUCCACCAUCAGGAUGUUCUACUUUUCAGAAAAGACAGCUAAUUUCUAGCACCAAAGAAAACUUUUACUAGUUCUGUUGCUGAUAUAAAUAGCUCAAAUGUGUCAGGCACCCGCCUUUGAAUUUAAAUCACACAUCAAAUCUAAAAUUUAAGAUCUUGCAUGGCCUACAGAAAAAAAAUAAAAAGUACGACCAUCUCAACAGUAAUCAUUUAACCAACUGAAGAUCAUAGAUCAUACCCGCUUAGUAUGUUUAUAGGAAAAGCAAGCUAACGAAACACUGUAGUUACAUGGAUUUCCAGUUCCCAUCCAAAAGCUUCACCUUCUCCGUGAAAAGGUGCCGCAAAAUAGGUGCAAAUUUAUGAUUAGAGUAAUGCAGACUACCUUUAUCACAUUAAGUAACACUGCAUGAAAAUGCAUCGCAUAAAACUCAUUAUAAACAAGAUGCAAUGCAUCUAAACAACCCAUUAUUCUGCAAUUGGAUGCAUUACAAACUUGAAAAAAAAGGAGGCAAAAUAAGAACAAGAAACGAACCAGCAAAAAACACAGACAUGUCAUAACUCACAUAAUCAAACAAUGCACACUAACCAAAUUGCUCAGAGACUAAUGCAUAAGCUAAUGCCGAUUAUAUCACAGCUAAAUAUAUCAGAAAAAAGUUUUGAUCCUAUUUUGAUCACAAUCAGCUAAUAUCUGUUCAGAAACAACGACAGAAGACACAAAAAAUACAGAAAAUAUUGGAGAAGUAACUCACCUUAAGCAUACCAAUAAUCUGCAGAGGAACGAAUGGUGGAUGCAACAAGAGCCCAGAUCAGAUUUUUAAUCCAAGAAUUGCAUAUUCUCAAUGGGAAUCAGUUUCAACUUUCAUAUAGCUCAAAAACUGAAACUUUAGACGAAUAAUAAUACUCCUAUUUAUACCCUUUGAAAUCCCUUUAAUUAAUUGUGAGAAAAAUAAAAAUGGGAAACCUUUAUAAGAAUGGACUGUAUGGAGGAGGAGGAAAAUUGAGAAUGUGAAAGCUCAAAACUUUAAUCAUACGGAACAAUUCAAAGUCAAAGAAAAACAAACGUGUGGAAGUAAAUUUAUGUGUUGUAACGUCGCUUUUUGGCUAAACCCAAAAGGGUUUGACAAAGGAAUUAUCAAACCCAGUUGGGGAUUUCUGUUGAUCGGAAAUUGAGGAUCGGAAUGGGAUUUGAUUGUUGAACUUUGGAGAGGUCUUAUGUCGUCAUGGUGGGGUCUCUUAUGUUUCUUUUGACAAAAUUUGCCCCGCAGAAAAAGUGCUGGCAGAAUUGUGGGGAAAUAUACAUCAGAUGCACAAAAUUGGGCAACCGAUUAUAUAAUCGAAGGUCAAUUGACUUCUUGACAAAAGAUUAUAUAAUCGAAGGGAGGGACUUAAGUCCCUGCAGCCAAGUCCCUCACCUGCAGCGAAAAAAAUCUAAGAUUGUGUCAUAACACUCUCUUAAUCUAGUUAUGUCUAUAUAUUCACUAGCUUUUUAUCACAGCUCAUUAGGAUAGAGUAGGUUAUACCGUUGCUGAAAAAAAAAAGAUUAUAUAAUCGAAACUUGAAAAGACAACUUCUUUUUUGGGUGGAGGAAAAACCAUUUCCUUUUCUUUUUUAUUAAAAAAAACUUAAGUUACUAUAUUGAAACUUAAAAAACCGUUUAAGUUACCAUUCUAAAAUUGCUAGGCGCGUUUGAAUUACGAGUUUUCAAAGAAAAUUUUAUGAAAUAUUUUUCCAUCGCAUUUUUAAUUAUUUUUUAGCUCAUAUAUAUAUAUAUAUAUAUAUCAUAUUAUUAUAGUAUUUUUUUAAAAAAAUUACAAUCCAAAUGAACAAAAUUAUUCUUUUUGAUUAGAAAAAAGUUAAUGAUUGGCUUGUCAAUUUAACGAAGUGUCAUAUUAUGAAGUUUGAAAAAAAUUUAAAGGUAAGAAUCUAAGCUUAAAAAGAUUAACUCAUUCAUUGAUUCAACUAAAACUUAUUGGAGCUAUAUAAAAAGAAUUACUCUCACAAAAAAUUGUUGAAGUUAAUGCUUUCAUAUAAUUAUAACCAAGUCACAAACUCGAUUUUCAAGCAGAUUUAAUAUGAAGUAGAUUUAAUACUUCAUAUUACGAGAGUUUUUAGUGCGUCCGAGAGAUAAAUAUAAAAUAAAAGAGUGUGAAUUAUUGCAUCACAAAUAAGUAACAACACCAACAUGUCAUUUCUUUUCAUAGCAGAAUAUUACUACUAGAAACAAUCCUUUUAUUUUCCCACUGGUAACCCUUCCGGCGUAAAAAAGGGAAUUUUAUUUUUUCAUUUUGUACAGAAAUUGGAUUUGAAUCACAAAUUUUCUCCUUUUGCCCAGGCAAUUCUACAUGUACGACCAUCAGAAUUGGGCCUUGUAUGCUGCAACGUCCUGGCCUGACUGGACAAAUGGGUCGUGGCCCAGCGAAUCCUUCCUAAGGAAUUUUGUGACAAAACACAAGUGUUUUGUUGCAAGUAGGGGUGUUUCGCGAAUCGAGCCGCUCGCGAUUACGAGCUCGUCAAUAUCGAGCUCAAGUCGAACUCGACCUAAUUAAGUCGAUCUCGAACUCGAGCUCGAAUUCAAAAACAUUGAGCUCGUUGGCUCGCGAGCUCAAUUAUAUAUAUAUUUUUUAUUUUAAUAGUAAAAUUAUAUAUAUAUCCCUACUAUUUUAUUAUUUAUUAAAAAAAUUAUUAUUUUAUUCAUUUUUAAAAAUAAAUAAUUAUUUUUUAUUUUUUAAAAAUAAAAUAAUAAUAAUUAUUUUUUUAUUUUUUAAGCUCGAGCUCGAGCUUGAUAUUUUGAGCUCGUCGAGCUCGAGCUCGAGUUCGAACUUCACAAAAUUAACUCGAGUUCGGUUCGAUUAGCCAAAACUUGACUCUAAUUCGGCUCGUUUGCACCCCUAGUCGCAAGGAAAGUGGACGACAAGUGUGGGAAAAUAGGAUUCUUGUAAUUUUUUUUUUUAUCGCCAAAACUCAUCCUGCAAAAAUCGCAGGAAAGCAAAUGACGGGAAAAUCUUAACGGAUAAAGCCCACGAAAAAAUUUUCCAAUAUUUUAUAGGUAAAAUUGUUAAUUUUAAAAUCUCAACUCAAAUCUUUUUAUCUGUUUCAAUCAUCUGCAUAUAACACUAAUAAGAAGGCAUAGAAACAUCAUCAUCAUAUUAAAAUCUUUCAUCUUUUCUCCUUCCAGAAAAAUAUCUUCCUCUCUUCUCUUUAUGUACAUGUCCAUGAAAAUUUUUCAGUAAGUUACAUUACAAUUAAUAGUCUGAUUUUUUCCCUAUUUAAAUGACCUUAUAAACAAUUGUAGGAAUAAAUCUGUGGCAAUUAUACAGAGAAAUGCAACAAUUUGGGUGAGAAAGAGAUCAGUGCAUUUUUAUGUUUUCUUUAUUUUCAUUGUAUGAAGUUGAAUAAAACGCUUAUAUGUAAUAGUGUAAAAGUAGUUGAUGUUGUCGAUCGGUUUCUAUUUAUUUUUAUGAAAUCAAUAUUUACCUUUGAUUUAUAUAUACACAUAAGCUAACAAUUCUAACCAGUUAUCCUGUAACUUUUCUGUUAACCAAACAUAACAAUUUAAAUUUUCUUGCACUAUUUUCUUGUCAACCAAACACAUGUAAAAACCUUAGUUUCCUUUUUCUUUACCUCACUUUUCUCACAAUGCACUCCUAAAGUAAACUACCCUCAAACCAACGGACCCUAAAGUAAAAGAAAAUUGAUGGUUCUUGCCUUCUUGGCCUAUUGCUAUUGUUGCCUUCAGCCAUCAAACUGUGAAAAACUGCUAAAUCAAGGAAAAGAUUUGCAGAAUCGUUGAUGCUGAUAGCUCAUGCAUCAAGCGCAGGUUCUCGACAUAUUCAUUUAUUUAUUUCUUUUUCUUUUUUUGGGUAUCCGAUGGAUAUUAAUAAAUAAUACAACCUGUACCUGUACUGGUUAGAGCAAAGAACUCAAGGGAAAUUAUUAAUUAUGGGGAGAGGGAGAAGUACAGCCAAUAUAUAUUGGAGAAGAGAAGUAUCUUUCCACUUCAGAUUUGUACCUAUACAGCUUGUAGUUUUCAUCAGGAAAGCGACGUACUGAAACUUCACAAAAACAAAGAGUAAAUGAGGUAAUGGUGCAAGUUGGGCGUUAAGCUCAAUUAAAACCAAACUUUUCCGAUUUGUCUAUGUCGCACCAAUUAUCUCUAUCAUCUCUUCCUGGAUGAAGAGGAAAAAAAGCAACCUGGGAUUUAUGACAUUAAAGCUAAGUUUGCAACAAAUAAUAUGCGAUUCAAUUUCUUGGUUUGGAGUCGUCCAGCCUCGGGAAGAAUUUGAGCUAGCUAUGAAUAUAUUUUUCACCUGAACUCUUUCUACUAGAAAGAUUACGUGUUCCGUGAAGUUUUAAACUUGCAUGAUCACAUACAAUAUGGGGGGAAAUAUGCUAUCAAGCAUGGAUAAAUGGAAAUGAUACUUAGAAAGUGUUUGGUGAGUGAGUUUUAAGGGACAGGAAUGAGUUUUAAUUUCAAUCAUAUAUACCCAUACCCAAUGUUUGUUUAAAGGUCAAUCUGAAUCAGUUAAUGGGUUUCAUAUGCCGUUUCUAUUGGUUUUUAUAAUUAACAAGUAAACAGCAGAGCUUCACUUAUUCAUUUUACUAUAAAGUUACCAAAUAUUCUAUAUGUUUCUAUCAAACCUAUUUCUCUAUUCUCCAAUUUAUCAUAUAUACAUACUCAUAGCGACGGUGAUCGUGAAGUUUGAAGCAAACGGCUCCUAAAAAGGAAGAAACAAAAAAUAGAAUAGAUAAUGGUGUGGAAAUCCUUAACUACAAGCUUUGCAUUUCAUUUCUUUCUCCCGUUUGGCUAUAGAAAAAAAAAAAAAAAAAAAAAGCGAUUGGCAUCUGAUGGUUAUAGGCAAGGUUGUAGGUCCAAGCAUUAAGGAAGGUAGGCAGUUCAAGUUCAAUAGACAAGUGACAAUUCUGGGUGGAAUAGUAGCGGUAUCCCCAUGCAACUGAGUGCAACACCUUGGCAUUACCUCUAUAAGGAGUCCAAAAAUGAAUGGCUGUUGUAUGUGUUGACACCAACGGCUGUUUACAUCUAUUUAAAUGAACCAAGUUUCUGAGUAUGUUUCACCUGUGCAAUUCAACGUUUGAAUUGGAAACUCUAAAUAUACUCUAAAUGCAUAGAUGCUUCUAAAUUUUUUAAUACAAAAGUCUAUAGAUGCUUCUAAUUUCUAAAUUUCAAAGUUUCUGAGUAUGUUUCACCUGUGCAAUUCAACGUUUGAAUUGGAAACUCUAAAUAUACUCUAAAUGCAUAGAUGCUUCUAAAUUUUUUAAUACAAAAGUCUAUACAGUGAGCCUUUCAUGCAUAAUCAAAGCAAAUAAGUUUUCCGAAAAUUGGUAUUCCACAUUAUAUUGUACACUUGUUAACAUUAUAAAUUUAACAGACAUCCUUUUAAGUCUUUUAGGCAUAUCAAAGUAGAUUAUGUCUUAAAAAAAAAAAAAGAGUAGAUUAUGUCUACCCAAGUAUUAUGCCGAACGCUAUUUAUCAUAGUUAUAAAAUUCGGCUCGGCCCGACGAUUGAACCGGUCGGCCCAGUGAUCCAGUCCCUCUGCCGGAUUUCUUACAUCUGCAUAUAACACUAAUAAGAAGGCAUAGAAACAUCAUCAUCAUAUUAAAAUCUUUCAUCUUUUCUCCUUCCAGAAAAAUAUCUUCCUCUCUUCUCUUUAUGUACAUGUCCAUGAAAAUUUUUCAGUAAGUUACAUUACAAUUAAUAGUCUGAUUUUUUCCCUAUUUAAAUGACCUUAUAAACAAUUGUAGGAAUAAAUCUGUGGCAAUUAUACAGAGAAAUGCAACAAUUUGGGUGAGAAAGAGAUCAGUGCAUUUUUAUGUUUUCUUUAUUUUCAUUGUAUGAAGUUGAAUAAAACGCUUAUAUGUAAUAGUGUAAAAGUAGUUGAUGUUGUCGAUCGGUUUCUAUUUAUUUUUAUGAAAUCAAUAUUUACCUUUGAUUUAUAUAUACACAUAAGCUAACAAUUCUAACCAGUUAUCCUGUAACUUUUCUGUUAACCAAACAUAACAAUUUAAAUUUUCUUGCACUAUUUUCUUGUCAACCAAACACAUGUAAAAACCUUAGUUUCCUUUUUCUUUACCUCACUUUUCUCACAAUGCACUCCUAAAGUAAACUACCCUCAAACCAACGGACCCUAAAGUAAAAGAAAAUUGAUGGUUCUUGCCUUCUUGGCCUAUUGCUAUUGUUGCCUUCAGCCAUCAAACUGUGAAAAACUGCUAAAUCAAGGAAAAGAUUUGCAGAAUCGUUGAUGCUGAUAGCUCAUGCAUCAAGCGCAGGUUCUCGACAUAUUCAUUUAUUUAUUUCUUUUUCUUUUUUUGGGUAUCCGAUGGAUAUUAAUAAAUAAUACAACCUGUACCUGUACUGGUUAGAGCAAAGAACUCAAGGGAAAUUAUUAAUUAUGGGGAGAGGGAGAAGUACAGCCAAUAUAUAUUGGAGAAGAGAAGUAUCUUUCCACUUCAGAUUUGUACCUAUACAGCUUGUAGUUUUCAUCAGGAAAGCGACGUACUGAAACUUCACAAAAACAAAGAGUAAAUGAGGUAAUGGUGCAAGUUGGGCGUUAAGCUCAAUUAAAACCAAACUUUUCCGAUUUGUCUAUGUCGCACCAAUUAUCUCUAUCAUCUCUUCCUGGAUGAAGAGGAAAAAAAGCAACCUGGGAUUUAUGACAUUAAAGCUAAGUUUGCAACAAAUAAUAUGCGAUUCAAUUUCUUGGUUUGGAGUCGUCCAGCCUCGGGAAGAAUUUGAGCUAGCUAUGAAUAUAUUUUUCACCUGAACUCUUUCUACUAGAAAGAUUACGUGUUCCGUGAAGUUUUAAACUUGCAUGAUCACAUACAAUAUGGGGGGAAAUAUGCUAUCAAGCAUGGAUAAAUGGAAAUGAUACUUAGAAAGUGUUUGGUGAGUGAGUUUUAAGGGACAGGAAUGAGUUUUAAUUUCAAUCAUAUAUACCCAUACCCAAUGUUUGUUUAAAGGUCAAUCUGAAUCAGUUAAUGGGUUUCAUAUGCCGUUUCUAUUGGUUUUUAUAAUUAACAAGUAAACAGCAGAGCUUCACUUAUUCAUUUUACUAUAAAGUUACCAAAUAUUCUAUAUGUUUCUAUCAAACCUAUUUCUCUAUUCUCCAAUUUAUCAUAUAUACAUACUCAUAGCGACGGUGAUCGUGAAGUUUGAAGCAAACGGCUCCUAAAAAGGAAGAAACAAAAAAUAGAAUAGAUAAUGGUGUGGAAAUCCUUAACUACAAGCUUUGCAUUUCAUUUCUUUCUCCCGUUUGGCUAUAGAAAAAAAAAAAAAAAAAAAAAAAAGCGAUUGGCAUCUGAUGGUUAUAGGCAAGGUUGUAGGUCCAAGCAUUAAGGAAGGUAGGCAGUUCAAGUUCAAUAGACAAGUGACAAUUCUGGGUGGAAUAGUAGCGGUAUCCCCAUGCAACUGAGUGCAACACCUUGGCAUUACCUCUAUAAGGAGUCCAAAAAUGAAUGGCUGUUGUAUGUGUUGACACCAACGGCUGUUUACAUCUAUUUAAAUGAACCAAGUUUCUGAGUAUGUUUCACCUGUGCAAUUCAACGUUUGAAUUGGAAACUCUAAAUAUACUCUAAAUGCAUAGAUGCUUCUAAAUUUUUUAAUACAAAAGUCUAUAGAUGCUUCUAAUUUCUAAAUUUCAAAGUUUCUGAGUAUGUUUCACCUGUGCAAUUCAACGUUUGAAUUGGAAACUCUAAAUAUACUCUAAAUGCAUAGAUGCUUCUAAAUUUUUUAAUACAAAAGUCUAUACAGUGAGCCUUUCAUGCAUAAUCAAAGCAAAUAAGUUUUCCGAAAAUUGGUAUUCCACAUUAUAUUGUACACUUGUUAACAUUAUAAAUUUAACAGACAUCCUUUUAAGUCUUUUAGGCAUAUCAAAGUAGAUUAUGUCUUAAAAAAAAAAAAAGAGUAGAUUAUGUCUACCCAAGUAUUAUGCCGAACGCUAUUUAUCAUAGUUAUAAAAUUCGGCUCGGCCCGACGAUUGAACCGGUCGGCCCAGUGAUCCAGUCCCUCUGCCGGAUUUCUUAUCGGACCGAGUUUAAUAACUAUGCUAUUUCGCCGAACGCCGGAAAAAAAAAGAGUAGAUUAUGUCUACCCAAGUAUUACGCCGAGCGCUAUUUAUCAUAAUUAUAAAAUUCUGCCCGACCUGGCGAUUGAACCGAUCGGCCUAGUGACCCAGCCCCUCUGCCGGGUUCCUUACCAGACCGAGUUUAAUAACUAUGCUAUAUUACUGUGGAAAAUGUAAAUAGGUUUUUUUUUCUUUUGGGGUUUUGAGUAAAAUGUAAGGUAGAAUAUCAAAUUUCAAUUUCAUCAAGGUGAAUAAUGAUAUGUAUGCUCCAAAAGAAUCUUCUCACACUCUACAUUUCUUCACGUACUAAAUUGUUGAAAUGAUGUGCUAGGAGCUAUUUUUGAAGUUUAAGCUCAAAUAUCACUUACCUUUCACCAAUCCAACUUUCAUCAAUGAUUGUUUCUAAAUCAUCAUCUAGUUUUCAUUUCUUAAACUGAGUUAGCCAUGCCCAUGUUUUUACUAAUCAUACAGGGACAUGGCGGAAUAGAAGUAAGCUAGGUACGUCUGCGAUUUAACUCUAAACUCUUUACAGAGCAAGAGUAAUCGAGUUGGUUAUAAUAAGCAUCACUUUCACCAUGCACUACAGAACAUCGAUGGAGUACUCCGUAUAAAGUUUAGGGUAAAAAAGAGGUAAUUGCAUCAGAUUAAACUAAUGGGAACAAGACUAAUUUUAUCGAUCACUAGCGCCUUUUAUGGAGAAGUAGCAUACACAUUAUAAAAUUUUUCCGACCAUUUCAUCACCUAGGCCAGGAGAUAAUGGUGGUUGUCGCCAUCUAUGCACAUCUUUUUGGUAGUCCCCCACACUCACUCACAAACUCAUAAUUUAACAGGGAAGGCCGUUGUAUCUUCUCCUCUGAUGAGUCACAAAGGGCACCUCAUAACACCUCCGACAAGAGAAGAGUGGUCCCUUUCGACUAAAGUUACCACACAAGCCGUUAGCUAUAGAUCCACAACUUGUUUCAGAAUGAGUCUCCUUUUUGCUUACCAGCUUUAAGCAAUCAUACUCUCUAAUUAAUAAACAACUUCCAUCAUUUUGUUGUGAUUACUUUCCGUUUCAUGCCCAUGUAAAAUGUUACAUUAACUGCAGGAGUCAUUGUCUCUGAUGUUUGAUCCCUCCCACCUCCAAAACCCUCGUCUCUGGCUACCAUUACGUAAGUGAGAAUAUAUAUAUAUAUAUAAGGGUACAUGAUAAAAGGCGAGGUCAGUGGUAUUUUACCUGCAAAAGUUUCAUUCUCAAGCAAAAUUGUACGCAAAAUAAGGGUGAGAAAGUUAUUUAUAACCAUGCCAAAUUAAUUGCUAAUGACUGAAAAAAGGCACAAAACUAGCAUAAUCUUCUCUGUUAAUUCAUACGCAUUGUUGUAACACUUGACCACAUAUUUGUAAUCUUAAGCAAUUUUGUAACUUAAACCUAAGUGUCUAGUUUGAUGGCUCAGUAGUUUUUUUUUGGCUUUCAAUGUUAAAAUUGGUUCAGUGCGCAAGUGUUUUGACUCGUAGAUAGUGUCUAGACUAUGCUGCAAAUAAUAGUACUAGUCUACGAACUUUUUGGCAUAGUUCAAAUACGCAGACGCCUUUGUAACUAUUUCAAAAAGUAAACAUAUAUAUAUAACCAAACAACCGUUAAUAUAUAAAUGGUGCAUUUACCAUCACAACCUCUUACAAAGACAUGCAACUUAAUUAUUGUCAAGAUAAUGCUUUCUUCCUUAGUCCCGGAAAAGUUAUACAGAGUAUGAAUCUCUAUAUAUCUAUAGCCUUCUAUCUUUUUUAUCAGCUGUUUGCUUUAGUAAAAUAAGAUAGAAGUGUUUAGGCUUGAAUUUUAACUUUAGAGUAUAGUUAAGAAAUCAUACUGAUCUGUUGACAAAGCUUGGAAUACCGAUUAUGAAUUUUCAGUUUUUUGAGUCUUGAUAUGAGCUUUUCCAAAAAAAUUCAACAACCAUUCAGGUGACUAUACUAUACAGGGACUCCGAUUUCGGAUACUUGUUGCAACUUUCCUUCUUCUUUUAUCAGAAAUUCAAUAUUGGAGUGGUUGGAGGUUUUAAUGGAACCCUCAUAUUUUAUUAACUGAAACGAUGAUGCUGGAAAUUAAAUCAAGGACAUACAAACCACAACUACAGUGAAAAUUAAGAACAAAACUCUAAGAUGAUUAAGAGUAGAUCAACCUAUCUAGCCUAGCUAAUAAGAUGUCAAAUAUGCGAUGAAGUGGUCCCUGAAUGCAGGGGGGGAAAAAGAAUUGGAAAUCAUGUCCUUCAUUUUCUAUACCAAAUAGCCAAGAAGCUAUAUUAGUUUCCAACUGUGAAGAAGAAUUUCCAAGUAUAAGCAUUAAUCCUAGCUAAAAGUCAUUGGCUGCAGCAAGCCCUGAGAUUAUAAUUAGGUAUCUUGCAGUAUUGAAAUAUAAAAUUUAUGAUCAGAUCUGGAAAGUUAAAAUGAUCAUAGAAGUGUUGCUUUGUAAAAUAUGAAAUGCUUUUCCUAGAUUCAUUCGACAAAUGGUGAAGUUUAAACAAUGAAAGGUAAAAAACUAUACUUACAUGAGAAGAGGUUAAAAACGAAGAAAAACAAAUGGCUUAUUACAUUUUCACUCCCCCAAUUAUACAGGAUGAACUGAUUUGUCUCUCUAUCUUUGUGAAAAAUACAUUUUUGGCAAUAUUUUAAGUGGUCCUCAUUUGAGCUCAUUCUAUUAAAUGAUUUUGGUCGUUUGUUGAAAAAAAAAAUUAAAUGAUUUUGGCUUCCUAAAAUUACAUGUUGACUCUUUUUAGAACUUCUUGGUUGUUGUCUUAUAGAAAUUUCUAUGGGAAAGAGAAACUCUGAAAUUACUAAUAUUUUCUGAAAUUUCAGAUACCAAAUUAGCACUUAACAAACCACUCAAACCUCUGAGACCAAAAAAAAAAAAAAAAAGGAAGAGAGGGGGGGAGGAGAAAAAUUGGGCAGCUGUACGUAAUGAUCUAGUACAUUUCUCCUUAAACUGGAUAUGACAUUUCCUUUUCUCAGCGACGUAGACAUUUGUCCCUAAUUUGAAGUGCUACGUUUGCAGAUCAUAGGCAUAUUUCUGUAGAGAGCAAAUCUAGUGUUUUCAUGAUGAAUGCAUAAAUCCGACUGUGACUUUGAAAGAUAAAACUUAGAUUGAAUUGAUUUACGGCUAUACCUGAUAUGAUCUCUUAUUUCUUGUUUAAUUUGGUACGAUAACUCAGCUUGUUGUCAGUGGCCAUAUAUCCACAGAGUUACACAUCACAUAGUUCCAAGUCAACAAGGUAAACGUUUUUUUUUAAAUUAAAAAAAAAAAAACUAACUAAAUCAGAAAUGCAUUAAAACAUGUACGUGAUAUCAUUCAGGAGGUUUCAUUUGGCUACAAAAGUCAUUAGCUAAAGCAGCCAAAACACAAAUGGGAGGAGGGGAAUUAAAAUAGGCACAUCUCCAGCAAUUGGAGAGUGUAUUAACAACAAAGUUACGCUCUUUAAUUAUGCCAGAAUUAUUCCAAUUGGUGAUCCAUUACCAAGUUGUUUUUCUUACACCAUCUCUGCCGGAGGUCUCCAAUCAUAAUCCACCAAACUUAAGCGGGGCUUGAUUUACUAAACAUGAAACUUUUUGGGUAAAAAUGUCACAAGAGCCAGACUUCAUGGGUACAAGUUUUUUUUUUUUUCAAACAGUAACUUUCUUAAAAAAGAAACAUUACUAAAAGAAGGUUGUAUACCUACCUAAAGAUGGUUACAAUUAAUGUUAUUUUCAAAAUAAUAGUAACAAUGCCAAUGAUGACGAUGAUGAUACAACUUGUUCAUGCAAACAUAUGGCACAAUUAAGUCAUAAUAAAAGUACAACUUGGUCAUAUAAACAUUUGGGACGGUUAUUCAAAUUGCUAUUGAAUACAUUUUGUAUCAAUAUAUAGGCGGCUACAUAUAAGAGUGCAUGAGUAUAAUAGGUAUGCGGAACAGUGCACCUACGAGACCCUUUUGGGAAUUUACCCUAGUGAAUGACUUGCACUAGUACAUAUAAUUUACUUGCACACUUUAGUUUUUGACGCAAUAUUAUAGGUCACAAAAUAUAUGCAAAUGAUAAGUUCGUAUUUACGUCCAUACAGAGAAAGUUUGGUGAAAGUGAAGGGUGAGAGUGCUGAAGAAGAAGAAGAGAAGGCAACCCUUUUCUCCUCUCCUUUCAUUAUCCCAUCUCCCUGGCUUUGCUUGUUUCUUGUCUGAUUAGCAAAUCAUUCCCUAGCUUCCAUGAAUGAGCUUCCAAACACCUAAAACAAGCAGAUCAACAAUUCAGCACCCACGGCGAGCUCCACCGAUUUAUCACUGAUCAUCACAAAGAUGGUGAUGUUUCUGGUUCGCUACUGCCGCCUAUAGUCCCAAACCCCAAAUCCAACCUUGUACUACCGUCUUAUUACAGGUAACUUACCGACAUAAGUAGAAAUGACUAAGAGAAAUCAAGAAACUUUACCAUUCAUUCUGGCAUCAUUGGCCUUUUACCUUCUGUUUCCAAAAUCAGUUCCCAUCGAUCUUUAACUUGAUUUUCAUGUGCAUCAUCCGUUAUUCUUCAGAAUAUGCUAUAGUCUAUCAGUUUCAUAUUAUUACACACAGUAGUUUAUUCCAGCACAAAGAUUACUGUUACUUCUUGAAUUUAACAUUAAGCAAGAUGUUGAUGUAUUAAAUAGGAAGUGGGAUGCUGCCAAAAUCUUGUUUUACACCUCCCUUUGACAAUUGACAGGGUAAGGGCUUACACAAGCUGCCUAGCUAGAAUAGGGGUAAUUGAAUUCGUCAAAUCCCAACUAUCAAGUUUGAGCAUCUUCACACGCCCAUGUCCCAAAGCUUCCAUCAAGGAAUCUACAGCUUCUCAAAUGGAUAUGAAAGAUCUCCGACCACGACGAAGCAAGGGAUGGAGUGGAUCAGCCAAAGAGUGCAAAACUUUGAGCUGCAGCAGCAGCAGCAAGUGCAAACUGAGGUUAAUUCUGGAGAGCCACCGGUUUAUGAUGAUACCGGAGGUGGGAUGUUGACAGAGAUGAUAGAUUUCUCUCGGGGACGCGGUAAAUCAGCUAAUCAUUUACUGCUAGAUGGUCAGAUCCCCUCCAGUUAUAGAUGGUCUCAAAAACAGCAACUACCACUGACGGUGGUAAACGAAGCUGAGGUGAGUAAAAACUAGUACUACUUUUUUUUAAUGAUGUAAGAAAAGCAAUACGACUAAUUAUACUAAUGAUUCUUGAACAGUGUUACAGUGCUUUUCUUAUUUUUACCAAUUUUCAUGCAGCUUCUGCUCAUGAACCCGCUUCAUGUUAAAGCAUCUUCUUCUUCUCCAACUAGUACAUCUUCGCUCCACAUGUCGGUUCCAAACUCCUCCGACUCUCAUCAUCCUAGCCUUCAUCUUCAAGAGUAUCAUUUGGAAAAUCCUUCUCAAUUUUCUUGGGUUCGCGUUAACGGUAACGAAGUUGAUGAUGAUAAUACCAAAAUCGGAAGGGCCAUGGAGGCUCAAGGGCUUUCAUUGUCAUUAUCUUCUUCGAUGCCAAACUUGGAAGCAGCCAAAUUCCAAGAACUGAGACCAGGAGAUGGUGGGGUGUACUUCUUUGAUCAAGGAGUAGGGCCCCCAAUGAAUUUCAGUGGAUUCAAGAAUCAAGAACCUAAUCCAAAUAUACUAGGUAAUAUUGUUACGGAUUAUUCUAGUCAAGUUCACGUUGGACUUCCAGCUUCUUCAAGAAUCGGGAAUGUCUUGAGGAAUCCCAGGUACUUGAGGGCUGCCCAGGAAUUGCUGGAAGAAUUCUGCUGUGUUGGGAAGGGAAAUUUGAAGAGCCCGAAAAGUGAAAACCCUAGGACCAUUUCUAUUGUUGAGAAUGCUAGUGGAGGGGCAGUUUCAUCAGCUAGCUCCAAGGACCGCCCGCCUUUAUCAGCUGCUGAAAAGACGGAGUACCAAAGGAAGAAGGUCAAGCUCUUGUCCAUGCUUGAUGAGGCAUGUAUCCAAUUCUCUCUCUUUCUCCUCUUUUUACAACAUGGUAGCAUUGAGGAAUUUUUGGUAGGAAUAGUUAAUUUCCUGAACUUUUUGACCACUUCUCUCCUGGCAUGCAAUAAGAAAUCCGGCCGACAGACUCAGGUUGAGAUUGAGAUUCUUCUUUGAACUAAACUAAGUGUUUGCUUUACCAAGCCAGCUGGAGAUUAAAAUUUACUAGUAUAGCACAAUCCAAGUGUUAUCAUUUCUGUAUAUUCUUUCACUUGAACGUCUGACAGGAUACCAUCUUGGGGUACAUGUCGAGGAAGGAGCGACAUGCCUCCAUUAUAGGUUCAAUCUUGGAUCUAUCAUGAAGGCUAAGCAAAAGAUUCAUCCGUACUAACAAAUAUGUUUUGCUCAAAGAGCUUGGAUUUCAAACAUUUUGGGACCAUGUCUUUUUCAUGUUACUGUAUGAUUUUAAACAUUUCUUUAAUAUAAUUGAGUUGUACCAUUGACACAAGGCAUCUUAAUUAUCAGAAGCUUCGAUUAAAAAAUUCCCAAGAAGGUCAGAAUAAAGCCUAAUGUUACGCUGAAACUUUCAAAGAAAUGGACCUUCCAACUCCUCCAAUAAUCUUCCCAGCCAUACAAAAUGCUUACCCAUGAUGAUAUGAAUUUUGAAUUGGUUAAUGAAUGAUUAAGUCCUCUACUGAAGUUUGCAUUAGGAUAUUGAUAUCCUUAAUUAUUAAGUACUCUACUGAAGCUUGCAUUAGGAAAUUGAUAUCCUAAUUAAUAAGUGCAGUUGAUACUCCACUUUCUUCCGGGAGCAAAAGAAAGUGUUUUUGUUGCUAACAAAGGCUCGUAAUUGAAGCCUAAGUGUCUGUUAAUGACUUGGCGUUACAUGUAAAGCUUCGCGUGCCAUACAAUUAUUUAGUGCCAUUUUUUCUUUUUUUAACUUUAAUAUUCAGUCAAGUUUCAAUUGUUGAUGACCAUGUUACAAAAUGUAUCCGUUUGCUUAUUAAUCAGGUGGAUGCAAGGUACACACAUUAUUGUGAACAAAUGCAAGCUAUUGUCCACUCAUUUGACUCGGUGAUUGGAUAUGGGGCGGCAGCUCCAUACACAAACCUUGCUCAGAAGGCAAUGUCAAGGCAUUUCCGGAGCAUAAAGGAUGCAAUAUUGGGUCAGGUGAAGGUUACAUGCGAACUUCUUGGAGACAAAGAUGUGAAUGGUACAAUAGGCUUGACCAAAGGAGAGACCCCAAGACUUCGGUGGCUUGAGCAAAAGUUUAGGCAGCAGAAAGCCCUUCAUCAAUUAGGAAUGCUUGAUCCCGAGACUUGGAGGCCCCAGAGAGGCUUGCCUGAACGAUCUGUUAACAUACUGAGGGCCUGGCUUUUUGAGCAUUUUCUUCACCCGUACAUCUCUCUCUCUCUCUCAGUUUUAACAGCCUUUACUUUUACCCUUUCAUUUUGUUGAUUUUUGGUUGAAAGUUUUAGUCAUAAAGAUCACGACAUCCUUUUGUUUUGCUUUCGUGCAAUGAGGAAAGGAAAGAUUGUCUGGUCUUAGAAAGUCUUUUGUUAAUGGAAUCUUGUUUGUAUUUGAUAAUUUAAGGAGUCACGAAAUCCAGUGCAAGAAUUGUUGGGUUGUGAUGAUUGUUGUGGGAUUUUGAAUGAUAAGUCCUGAAUUGGGUUCUGAUGUUGUCUCUCUGCAGGUACCCGAGUGAUGCAGACAAACAUUUGUUAUCUCGACAGACUGGUUUAUCGAAAAAUCAGGUACUCACUCGCACCUUUCUAGACCACGAAAACUGAUGUGUCAUAAUAUGCCUUAGAAGUUAAAAAUCCAUCUUCAUCUUCAAUGGCCACAUCAUAUUUUAGGAGCAUCAACUUUGCUUGAAACAUGAAGGGUUAGCAGUACUUUAUAUGCUGUCCCAAAUUUGGUGAAGAGACCGAAACUGAAGAAAGUUGAGACAUUUACGAGACAAUUACAUCGCUCUCGUACUAAAACAAAAUCUAAAAGUUUACAAUUAUAUCAAACGUUUUCUGCCCAUCGUGAGUUCUCAGAUGAAUAUAUGAUGAACAACUUUUUUUUUUAAAAAAAAAAAAAAUUUUAGUAACAAGAGAUUCUCUACAACUAGCUAGACAAUAGGAACCAUAGAUAGAAAGAACUAUGAGUUUUAGUCUUACAACGACCAUGCUUCUUUUUCUUCGUCUAAAAAUGUUGUGGCUCAAUUUAUUUCCAUAAUAAUUAGCAAGAAAGAUUUUAAGAAUUUUUUACAUUACUUGUAUAAGUGCACUACUUCAAUAGAAUAUCUGCGCCCGGGCAGCGUGCAGAACAUGUUGUCCUAGGUGUAUAUUUUGCCUAAGAUUCCACGAAAAGAAAUUAACAAUAUGCAUUAGUUUACAAGAUUCAUGCAGAUUAAAAUAGACAAGUAUAUGGAUAUAAAAAUUGCAGACAAAUUCAAUUUAUGCAUACAACUGCAGAUAUUCACGAUGCAUAUAUGCGUACAUAUGUGUGUAAAGACUAUAGGUAUAUGCACCAACACCAAUGUUGCAUAUAUGGUCAUACGAUAAAAAGGAAAAUGAAAAGAUAUUGGAUUGUGCUAAAGUUGUUCUAAACUACAUCCAUACGUAUAUCGUCUCUACUUAUAGUUUUAAGAGACUUAAUUUUUCAAAAAAAAAAAAAAAAAAAAAAAGCAAAUAGAUCAACUAUUUAGAUAUUCGUGUUGCAAAUUUGAUUCUAUGUUCAUCCCAGACAAUUGUCGUGUCUAAAUUCACCUUUGGUUCACUACGGUUUGGUAAAUUACUAUCAUAUUUCUCAAGUGUCUGAUGAUGCACUAAACGGCUAUCAUUCCAAAUCAUGCCUGCCAGAAAUAGACAUCUCCAUCACCUAUAUGAUUAAUUAUUGGGAUACUUUUAAAAACCUCUUCCAAGGUUUCUAAUACUUUCAUUGUGCUCCAUCGAAAUUUAGAAAUUACACCUACCUCAAAAGUCCAACUAAAAUGAUAAUAUUAACCUUACUAUUUUAAUAACACUCUCUUGUUGGGUAUGUAUAUAGAAAGAAUGGGAUUUAUAAUUAUAUUUUUUUUCCUUUUCUCUUCUUAUUUGUCUUUUUUUUAUAUAUAUUUUGCGAGUAAAACUAUAGAACUCUAAACUAUAAGUACGGACUAUAAUUGCUAUCAUUAUCAAAUGUUGAAGUAGUGAUCGAUCUUUUUUUUUUUUUUGUGACAACUUUGAAUAUGAUCCAAUGUUUUUUUUAUUGAUUUUUUCUCUUUGUAUCAAAAGCAACAAUGACUUAGAAAGAAACUAUUUAAAACUACUACUAAGCUAUGAUAGUUCCAACAAAUCAAAAAUCCGCAAACUCUAAAAGAAUUAUGGUAAUACUUUCUUGUCCAACUUAGAAGGAAUGUGUAUCAAGAUUAAAAUACCAUGUACAGUAACUUAUCAUAGUGAUAAAACUAUUGUAAUAAUUGCUUAUUCAAUAAUAAAUAUAGGUAUUGAAAACUUGACGCUUUUCUUUAUAUUUUUACUAUAUAUUUUUACAAUUGUUUAGGAAAGUAAUGUAAACUGAGGGCAUUUUAGGGUGUUCAUUUAAAAUUUUGACCAAAUCUAUGAUUUUGUUCCCACAAGUGUAAUUUUUAAAUUUUCAAGGGAUCUCAAUGAAAUUAUCACAAAACUUAGUGAGGUUUAUGAAAUUAUCCCUUAAUUAUUAGAUUCAAUAUUUGCCAGAAUUCAACAUGAAUAUUUAUAUGGGAGAUUCCAAGAUGUUUUUGGAAAUUCAUAUGUGCAUGAACAUUUUAAUACAGAAAACUUUUUAUUAGGUGAAACUUUAUUUUAUUGAUCAACAGCAAGAAAAGUGAUUAUAGAAAGAAAAAUACACAGGGCCCCAAAUUCAACUCACAAAAUUAUUACAACAAAACUAGGGAAGACCUAUAUUUAUAUGGCAAACAUAAGAAUAGUUUUUCAUUUUUUUCAACCAUACCUUAUCAAUUCUAGCAAAGAAAGGAUGGAAAUGUUAUGUUCAAUUGUUUGGCCCAACAUAAGAGAAGUUAAACCUGUCAGAAGUAAUUAAAUCUGUAAAAGUAAGCGUUCUUGAAAUAACUGUGAGUCUAAGAUUUCGUAGGAUGCAAACUUGGAAAUUGCUUCAAGUCUUACAUGAAAUACUUGAACAUUGGUUCCUGCGGGAAUAAAGAUAUUGAUGCCUACCGGCAAAAGAAAAUGAAUGCAUAUAUGCAUUUUGUACAGUAAUUUUGGAUUUAUUAAUAGAUUAGUAGUAUUUAGUUCUGAUCGAUCAAAAACAGAUCUCCAUCUCCACUUUUACCCCAAAAUUGACAAAAUAAAACAAAUUACAUAUGCUAAUCAGUAGAGGUUGUCAACAUGUAUCCAAUCAUAGCACUGGCGUCAGUCUUUUACAAUGAAAUAAAAAUUCGCCAAAAAAAUUGAGUAAGUACAACAAUAUGUACUACUUUCCCUAAAUGGCUGAAUAUAGGGGUUAUUCUUCAUAUGGGCUUACUCCUUUUGGACUGCAAAAAUGCAUGCAUGUUACUAUGAUUUUCUAGGGUCAAUUACUACCAGAAAUGUUAAAUGAUAUUUCAAGAAUACUACGUGGUGAUGACAAGUUAAACUCAUGAAAUCAAUUAUUACUUUUUGAAAACUCCCAAAAAUAUAUUAACCGACUCUGGUGCAGUGAAUUCAAAUGGCGCAGUAAAAAAGAUUCAAACAACAUGCAUGUAAAGGUAGACCGAAGCAGCAAUGAUUUUAAGCAAAAAGAAACUAAUUUACACUCCUCUAUUUAAACAGAAUAAAUUGUACAAUCUUUAGCAGUUAUGCUACAAUAUUGUCUUAAUGCAUAAAGAAAAAUAUAGGUUCAGUAUGAAGAUGCAUGAAAUUUUGGCUCUCGCUUUUAAUUUCUAAGGACCACUGUGUGUGUGUGUGUGUGUAACACUUUCCCUUUACCGAAAGACAUUCUUGCUGCAAUAGACAAAUAUAUAAAAUCUGUCACCUGCAUAUGUACGCAUUGCUUCUGUGAAAUCAAUGAAUGAUGCAAUAAAUGCAUGCUCUUUAUAACUCAUCAACUUAACUCUCUGUAUGCAUGAUACCUAAUAAAUUCCAAAAAAAAACAAAAAAUCCAGGUUUCGAAUUGGUUCAUCAAUGCAAGGGUGAGACUGUGGAAGCCCAUGGUGGAAGAUAUAUACAAAGAAGAGACCAAAGAUGAGGAGCAGAAAAAAGUGACAACAGUAAAUCAUCAUGCAGCCAAUGAAUUAGCCAAAUCAGUUGAUUCAGUGGAUGAGGAGGACCACCACAACCAAAACCAAAGCCAAAACCAAAACCAAAACCAAAACCAAAACCACAACAUAGUCUCUGCACAAACUCCAAUGACCAACAGUAAAACAACAACAGCAACAACAAUAUUAUCCUCAUCAAUCACAACUAUGACAUUGGUAGACGGGCGAAGAUCCGAAAUCAAUGCUGUAGAAAAAGACCCUUCAAAGAACACCAUCAAUAAUGGACAGUACACCUUGGGAAACCAAGCAAUUCUUCAAGGUACCCCCUCAACUACAACUCCAACCUCCCUGAUCUCAUCACCCACAUUUGGUCAUCAUCAUGGUCAAACCUUGCCUACAUAUGGUUGUUUUAUGGCCAUCCCUGAUGAGGCUCAUGUAGGCAUGCAUGGUAAUGCUACUUCCCGUGCAACAAAUAACAUUAAUACAUCCGGAUCCCUUGUUGGGAUGGGGAGCACUAGUCAGGCCGGGGAUGUUUCCCUGACUCUGGGACUUCGGCACCCCUCAUCAAAUUUGCCAAGAAAGAGGACUGAGUUCUCUUUAAGAGACUUUGGGGCAUUUUGAGUGAAUGAAAUUAUUGAUAUAUGACAUAUAUAUAUAGUUUCGUAGUAGAAAAAUCAUAAGAAUGUAUGAGUGGAAGAUAUUAGUGCAUACAUAAACUAUAUAGUUUCUAUUUAGCUGUUUGAAAACGUAAAGUUGGUUGCAAUUGUAUAAAGGAGUGGUAUAUGGGUUGUUUUUUUUCCCCUUUUAUGAAAUUUGUUUGGGAGAAUUUUCAUCAUUACUAGAAAAAAUGAGUAGCUCUUUUUUGUUUUUGUGCGCUUUUCGCUCUUAUAAUUUGCUGGAACAUAUUUUGGUUAAUGACUAUCAUCCAUCACUCCCAGGUUAGCUUCGAAUGCAAUUAGUGAACUGAAUUGUCAUGUAUAUUAAAUUAAAUAACUUAGUGACAUAUCUUCGUUGUCCAUUAUAAGGAGGACACUUGUUCGUAUACAGCCAGUAAACACAGUAUGUCGGAUGUGGACAACAUUGAAUUCUGGUAAUAAGCUAUCCAUAUACAUACAUAUAUAUAUAUAUCUGUGUAUAUAUGUAUAUAUUAGACAGAUAGAUAUAUGCCCACGUGUGGUUAAUUUGUUUGCCAAGAUCCUUGAUCGAUCUCUAGUUGUUUUAAUAUAAGAGAGUGACGUGCAUCAAUAAUGUGAACAGAAAUCUCAAGUCCACAAGCUGUUAAUUCAGAAAAUGAAUAAGUAGAGAAAGGGAGAGAAAAUGGCUCCUUUAUGGAGAAAGAUUGGAGGGACUUACAAUUAUUACUCAUAAGAACACUAGCUACCAUCGCAAUAAUUUUGAAUUUGGUUCAUUCGGGUCCCUAACUAUCUAAGGUCACACUUGAUUACACAUGUAAUCACUUACUAAAUUAGCUAAUUCUUCAUGGUUUAUGCUUCUAUUGAAUAUGCUGUGUCAUGUCUAAAAGACUCCAUUUUGUGAUAACUUUGCAGUCGUCACUGAGAAAUAUUAUCACUAAUGACUAAUUUUUAUAGUGAAUUGUGCAAAACGGAGUGUCAUGUGACCUAAAAUUAAGGAGUUCAUACACGCAAUAUUUACUUUUUCUCCAACGAGGCCACUGCCUUUCUUCUCUAAUUAAAGAGGAUAACAUUAAUUUUGAACUUUAUCAAAUGUGGACAUGUUUUCUGUUUAAUCAAAAGGAAAAAAAAAGAAAAGAAAACACCUAUCCAGCACAUUUCUUACGAGUUUCUAAGAAUAGCUCCAUAUACACUGUAUAGGAUGCUGAGGUCUCCCAGAAAUUUAGGAUGCUUUUAUCAUGAAACUUUUAAGUGACACGAACAUGAAGUCAGAUGCAGAUGCAAAUGCACUAUUUGAAGAUAAAGUAGUCAUUAACUUGAGGAGCACAAUCACUAACCUGGUACUGUUUGUUUCUGGCAACUAGCACAGCUUUUGUUAAUAUUUACACUGAAAGCAUGCUAAUAGUACUAAUGUCCAUGGUCCCCACUCAAAAGACGCAUGAUUGAUGGUUCUUGAUGUUUAACUUUUAUUUCUCAACGCUUGAAAAUGUCAGAUUUAGUUGGUCUCCAGUGAAUCCUAUUACUACCAAUAGUAGUUAUGUGUCUGGUAGUACAAUUUUUUGAGAGAAAUUUGUGAAAAAUCCAGCAUCAACAAGUUAUUACAGCAAUAAAUUACAAACAAUGGAUGUGCUUUGAACUUCUACAUUUCUUGCCAAAAGAAGAAGAAGAAAUCAAGUGAAGCAACUAACUGAUUUUCGACAACAUAAGGUGAUUUAGUCGAUAAAGAAGGGCUACUUUCUCACAAAAAAUCGUGUGCUCGAAUUUUACCACCAAUGUGAGACAGUGUUGGUGGGUGAUCCACAAGAACCCCUCUAAAUGAAGUAUAAUUUCAAGACAUGCCUUGAUCCAUGGUUGUGAUUGAAACUGAAUCCAUCCAAACUCUUUCGUAUAAAAAAAAAAAAAAAAAAAACUGAGUUCCCUUCUUUUACCAGCAUUACUGUAAUAAGUUCUAAAAAAUGGACUACAUAAGCUCAUAAACUGAGCAUAUACAGUUGCAUUUGCAUUAGUUAGUACAAAGUAAUCAUGCAAUAUGUUACGUCAGAUUCUGGACAAAAUGAAUAGAAAAUUUUGGAAUUGAGCAGCUCAUUGCUCCAUCCUUGGGUGGGAUGACUGCCUGUUCACAUUUAAGCAGAUAUGGGCUUUCACGGGUUUAUGAUCAGAACUGCUGAUGGU
Molecule: long non-coding RNA, 60285 nt
Filed under: Coffea arabica (coffee)
Lineage: Eukaryota; Viridiplantae; Streptophyta; Magnoliopsida; Gentianales; Rubiaceae
Description: long non-coding RNA (CARA_LNC007005)
Source: RNAcentral